CAUGGUAAACUAGUCAUAGAAAUGUGAUAAACCAUGUUGGUGAAUUAGUAGAUAAUUAACAUAAAAAAGUAGAGUACUUAGUUAUUUUUUUUUGUGUGUGAGACUGUAUGUGUGCGUGACUGUGAAAGAAGGGUUGGAACAAUUGUGUGUUCCUAAGUCGUUUGUGUUUAGGGCCGGAAGUGGGCCGGGCCAGGUCGGACCACACCCCUCCCCAAGCCCGGCCCGAAAUUAUUUUUCGGGCUUCGGGCCGAGCCUAGGCCCGAACAGUUUUACAAAAACUCGGCCCGAGCCCAAUUGGGCCAGCCCGAUUGGACUAAAGUCCGCCAGGCCGAUCACGAGCCCGGCCCGAGCCCAUUUGGUUCCCAUAAUAGCUUCCAACAUGCUGUCAACCCUCUAUAAUAGCUUGAAAAGAAAAGACAAGCUGCAUGAUGUUAUCUAAAAGGAAAAAAGAAAAAAUAGCUUCAAAUAUGACAUGUAGCUUCAUCUGUUUAUCAGGCUCCAGAACCAAAAUUCCAGGUAGAGAAUCAUGAUAACUUCCAGGUAACGCAGCAUGAAUAAGAACCUUGGAUCCAAAAGAGAGAGAGAGAGAGAGAGAGAGAGAGAGCACAUAUUUCCAAACCCAUUUUGAGCCCAAAGCAGAGAUUGCACUAAAUCUUUCUCUUUUCUUCCCGAUUUUUCCACUAAAGAUCGCCAACAAACCAAUUUAAGUCAUAAUUCUUGCGUCCAGACAAAGAGAUCAGAGAGAAACAAAAUCCAAAUUCUUCCGUGAAGAUUCCCAAGUUCCCAUUUGAAACCUAAAAUUCGAGUGCAAUCGAAGAACCUAAACAUAAAUUUCAAGAUUUAAAAAUGUUUCACACCUCUUCCAGGGAUCGAAAGCCCUCAGAUCGCGAUGGGGGUGAGGAGGGGAAGAUCAUUCGUACCUCAAAACCUAGCUUUGCCGACAAUAGGGUGGUCGGGGCUCCUCUUCACCACUUCGCCGAGCUUGGACGGUCGACGACGACUGGCGAUCGGCGACGAGCCGACAAGGAGAAGCGGAGAAACCCUAGCUCCACGCCUCCACCGCUCGUUCGCUCUGACGCCUCUGCAAAUCCCAACCAAAAGGAAGAAGAUCAUUCGUACCUGAAAACCUAGCUUCGUCGACGAUAGGGUGGUCGGGGCUCCUCUUCACCACUUUGCCGAGCUUGGACGGUCAACGACGACGACUGGCGACCGGCGACGAGCCGACAAGGAGAAGCGGAGAAACCCUAGCUCCACGCCUCCACCGCUCGUCCGCUCUGCACCUCUGCAAAUCCCUCGGGCAACAACCAACUGGGUAGUCUGGGUUUAAGUUAAACCGCGAUUUGGCAAACCCCUGUGAUUCGGCAAACCGCGAUUCGGGCUACUCGGGCUGGAAGUGGGCUCGGGCUGGGCCGGGCCCGGGCCGGGCCAAUGAGAUACCCGUGCCUGGCCCGAAAUAGAAAUGGGCUUAAUUGUUCAGCCCGAGCCCGGCCUGAAAUGCAUUGGGCCUAGCGCAUAGCCCGGCCCGCGGGCGGCCCGACCCGAUGGGCUCCGGGCCAGCCCGAGCCCACUUCCAGUCCUAUUUGUGUUAUAUCUCUUGUGUUGCAUUAAUGCUUCAUCAAAUGAUCAAUAAAUGGGUGAAUGACCUCUAGCCCAUCUAAAGAAGCAUGAGAAACAGAUUCUGUUUUUCUAGCUCUAGAAAUGACCGUAAACAGUGACUGAAUGCACCUGUUUUAUACCUUCAGCUUAGGUUAACAUGAGAAUGUGCAAGCACUCGAAACUAUUCUAGAACACUUCAUCCGUAAUUCCUUUUAACCACUAAUAAACACAAGGAGAACAAAAGUGUCAAAUUACUGUAUGAAACCAAGCUACUUUAUCCACAAGAUUUCGGGGCAUCAAUCUUUCUUGAUACUGAAUGUUCAUAUUUUCUGAGCCGCUAGGUCAGUCAAAUUAAUUUGAAGCAUUUUAAAGUGCUUCAUGUGGGUGUUUGCCACUCUGCUUCAAUGUUUUAUCCCCCCCCCCCCCUCCCUCCUCCUCCUCCUCAAACAAAAACAAACAAACAAAAAAAAAACUGUAUGUACAAUGGACUCUUAAAAUGCCUUGCAAGAAGCCCCUUUAACUAAUUCUUUAACAGAAACAAAUUCUUGAUCAAGAACUUGUUCCCUAGGUGUCAAAAUAACAAGUUGAAGCAUGCUACUGAUUGCAUUGGGGGAUCAAAAGGCGCUAUGGUAUAUCAAAAUAGAUGAUUUAAGUAGGAAGCAGUUGGUGCAUGGGAAUGGAAAUGGAGAUUGGUUUGGUUAAUCAUGGUAGGAAAGUCAGAAGUUCUGCCGAAGGCAUGUUAAAGGAGAUUAUUUGAAAAUGAUGGAAUAUAGCUGUAAAUUAUAAUUAUUUGCAUUAACAAUCUUGAGGUCUUUGCUAGCUUGACUUGCUCGGAGUUUAGGGAAGCAGGAUUUUAUUUUUGAAAGCUAGAAAAUGUUUAGAUCUGUUAAAUUUGAAUAUAAGCAACAUUGUAGGAUUGAUGUUGGACAAAAAUAAGGUGAUUGUUAGCAGAACUAUGUAGAAUUUAGAGCAAAAACAGCCUUUUCAAAAUGCAUUAAACAUUUAGAAGAUCAGUUUUGGAGGUUUAAGACUGAUAACUAUAGAUGAAAAAGGAAAUUUGAUUUAAUAAAAUGCCCAUAUAAGGGAAUAAAGGCAAGCUUGUGUGCUUAUAGAUAUUAUAUCAUGGAACAUCGGCAUCUUGGGUUGGAGGGAAACAAAAAACAGAACCUCUUUGUGCAUGCUAAUAGCGUGUUUUUUUAGAAGACUGCCAUUAUAGGUUCAAGUUAGAAGCAUUGUUGAAAAGAAAAGAUAUUCUUUUUAUCCAGUGGAGUGCCAGUGGUAUGGGUGAGUGCCACCCUUUGAUUCGAGACAUCCGGGCCAUGAUCUGUGGCGAGGUGGCAUUCCAGGCUAAGCAUGUUUAUAGAGAGGCCAACUAGGCUGCAGACUAGGUGGCUUUAUAAGUGGCCAACCACUCCGGAGAUACCCUUUAUCGGAAAGAGGGAGUUGCCCAGUGCGCUCUAUGAUAAGUUGUCUUUUGACUUUUUUGAAUGUAUCUGUGCUAGAAUUGUAUGAAUCAUUUAUUUCAACCAAAAAAAAAGAAUAUCUCUUUUUCAUUUAAACAAGGUUUAUGCUAUCUGGAAUACUUUAUUGUUGGCAGGCCACCAUGUUUGGAUAAUAACUGCAAUAAAUGAUUUUGAUGAUUGGGCUUGGAGAGUGAAUGAGGAUUUGAGCAUUAUAUAUGAGUUCUUUUGGGAAAAAAAUUGAGGAGUGCUGAAAACAUGAAAAGAGUAAAAGACUUCAUCAAAGGAUUGAAUAUUUGCCUUAAGGAAACUAACAGAAAUUCAUGCAAUAAAAGAAAUGAGAGAGAUUUGCAAACUUGUAUAAGGGCAAAAGGAAAAGAAGAGAAAACAAAAUUUUGAUAAUAAUGAAGGCACACACAAUCACAAUACAAUUCAAGUGGAAGAUCUUCUAUUAAGGCAAGCUAAUACUUUAUAUCAAAAAUAAAGAACAAGUUUUUGAUGGGGGUGUUGUUGGGGCAUAAAGCAAAGUAUUUUGAACAAGUUCUGUAAAAUCAAGCCCAGUGUGUUGAGGUCGAGAAGAGAUAAGAGAUACUGAGCUGUUGAACUUCAAUAAUGUGAAAAUAACACCCAUUAUAGAUGGUUGCAAAUGAAAGGAGAAGAGUUAUUAGUUGUUAUGCGUGGUUUUGAGCAAUCAGAAUCUUGAGGAUGUGUUCUAAUCGAGGAGUGGGAAUGAGUAACAUAUCUUUUUUUAAGCUGCAGAGGAUAACUUGUUAGAGUUUAUUGACUUGUUGGGCAGGUGUCAGGGUGUAGACUCUUGCAAGUUGCUUAUAGGAUAUAUAUAUAUAUAUAUAUAUAUAUAUAUAUAUAUAUAUAUANNNNNNNNNNNNNNNNNNNNNNNNNNNNNNNNNNNNNNNNNNNNNNNNNUGGACCAUAGAUGCAAGGAUCUAUUUUUAGAUAUGAUACAGAUUUACAAUACUAAAACAUGCAGCAAAUUCGAUGAUUGUUCCAAAUUACCGCAAACCGAUGUCACAUUUAUAUGAUCAGCUUAGAAAGGAGAGGUGGAAUGUCAACAAACAAACUAAUAAUUUGCUUAACCUUUAUAUUAUUCUGUAAUAACUCUCAAGGAACCAAUUGCGCAAUGAAAAUUGGCAGGCUUACUCGGAAGUGCCUCUAAUCCAUGAUUGUCAUGACAUAUUUAUGCUCAAUUUAAAUGUGAAAAAUGAGAUCUAGGGAUAAUUUUUGGAGCUGAUGUUCAAAUUUGAUUUUGUGAACUUCUUUACCUAGUGUUUACAUCUCUUUUGGAGCAAAUUUGGUUUCUUGAGGAGUUAAGAGGAAAUGGAUUAUGAUCUUCAUGUUCUACCCUGAAACUACAUGCUCUUACAACAGGGGAGUCAGUGGCGUAAAUCUACACCCGGGGAAAGGAAAUGCCCCAUCCAACCGUUGCCCAGGUUUCACCAUGACUUGGUAGAACUGUGGAACAUUGCUCUUAAUUCAUGGCCAAAGACACAAACAUGUGGAAAUAAAACUGUGUGGAUGCUUAGCAUGUGUAGGCUAGGUGAUGAAAUCUGGUUAUGAGCAUGAACAUUGUGAAGGAAAAUAAUAAGAUAUGGUAUUUGAUGGGGAACAGGUUGAAUCAUUGGUGGAAAUCCAAUAGCUUGUUGUUGGCCAGUUGUUUCUAUGCAAUAUGAUCUGUGCCUGUUAUAGACAAAGAUAUAUAUCAAAUGAGAAACUUUUACUUUGUAAAAAUGUGCUUAUGGUCAUUUGAGAAUUGCCAAGUUAUAUCAUCAUGUUUGUACCUCUUGAGUUUUUAACAGUUUAUUAUUUCUGUCAUUUUAUUUUCCCUGUUGACAGGAAACUGAUGGUCCAGAAAUGGCAGUCACUAAGCUUUUCGCAUCUGCUAAAAAGAAUAGUGUUCAGUCAAGGGAGUAUGGGUCCUUCAUACAUUGUAUGCGAAAUCUUCCUUCUGAGGGACAGAUCCGGGUAUUCUUAAACUUCAAAUCUGUGUUGUCUGAAAUGUUCUUAUAAAUGCUCUUUCAGAUUUUUAUUGGCAUUUGCCACCUGUUCUAGGCAACUGCCGUUGAAGUACAAAACCUUCUUGUUUCUGGUAGAAGGAAAGAGGCCCUCCAAUGUGCACAAGAAGGUCAGUUGUGGGGCCCUGCACUUGUUCUUGCAGCACAGCUUGGUGAGAAGGUUUGUCACUUUCUCAACAUUUUAUGCUAUUUUGCUUCCAUUUUAUGAUGGUUUUGCUGUUUAUUAUUAUCCAAUUUCUUGCCCUAUGCAUUUGCACUGAAAUAAAAUUAUUGUUUUUUUUUCCUUUAAAAUCCUUAUAUCUCAUUUGUGUUUGAUUGAGCUGCAGUUUUAUGUUGAUACUGUGAAGAAAAUGGCACAUCAACAGUUUGUAUCUGGAUCACCUUUACGUACAUUAUGCCUACUUAUUGCUGGACAACCUGCAGAUGUUUUUUCUGGGGGAAGCUCCUCCAGUAGUUUGUCUGGUGCUGCAAAUAUAUAUCAACAACCUGCUGAGGUGAUUUAUCUUCUAGAACAGUCAGUUGCUGAUUUUGCUUGUAACAUAAUUGUUUCUGCUACUCCUUAAUUCAUGCUUUUGGAAUUAUGUGGAUAUUUUGUUCUACAGAAUCUUCAGCAUGGUUACUUUUUGGGCAAUAGCUGCUUAAUUGUGUGAAUCAGGGUCUGACGAACCGGCGUGUACCGGCCGGUUCGGACCGGUCUGGCUUGUAACCGGUAUGCCGGAGCAGUGGAAACCGGUACGGGCCAGUUCUGUGCCGGAGACGAAGAGAAGGAGAGAGAGCGUGGGGAAGAGAGGGAGGGAGGAGACUUGUGGCCGCCAUCGGAGAGCCGCAGAGGGGCGGCGGGAGGGGGCCCCGGGGGGGGGGGGGGGAGGGGGGGUGGGGGNNNNNNNNNNNNNNNNNNNNAGCGGUGGAACCCACGGCUUUUUAAUUUGAGGAUUUUAAGUGAAUAGUGUGAUUUUUUGAUACUUUUAGUGGGGAACAUAUGGUAUAAAAUAUUGUCAUGGGUAACCCUUUGUUCAAGCCUGCUUUAAAGAUUCAAUCUGAAGAUAUUGAUAUCUUGGAGCUUGAUGUUAACUUGAUCUGAGAUCAAUCUGGCAUCUCAGUUUUUGAAUUUCUUUGUGAUUGCUUGGCACUUUUGAGCUCAUUUUGUGUUUUCUAAUGAGAUACAGACUCAGGCCUCUGGCAUGUUGGAUGACUGGGAAGAGAAUUUGGCCAUAAUAACUGCAAAUAGGACAAAGGAUGAUGAACUAGUAAUAAUUCAUCUUGGUGAUUGCUUGUGGAAGGAGAGAGGAGAGGUUUGUGUUUCAUCCUUUUCUUUACUAAUUUUUUUUCAAAACAUUAUAUCUUCAAAUGUGCUUAAUAUAAUAUAAUUUACAUAAAUCUUUGGAAUAGGUAACUGCUGCACAUACCUGCUAUCUGGUUGCGGAGGCAAACUUUGAGUCAUAUUCUGACAGUGCAAGACUCUGUCUUAUUGGUGCUGACCACUGGAAAUGUCCUCGAACUUAUGCCUGUCCAGAAGCCAUUCAGGUCCUGUUCAGUAGGAUUUCAGUUUAUUUAGUUCUAUCUAUACUUAUUUUUUUGUUAGGUUUAAUGGCUUCUAAGAUCUAUAUUAAGUUGGUCUCAGUUAAAUCUAGCUUGCUUCUUUUUUCUUGCUUUGGUGAUUUCGACUUUUUUUUUGUGUGUGUAUGUGUGCAUGUCUUCUUGCUGUUUCUUGCCAUGCUUACUUCCAACAAGCUUGCUAAAGUAUUGCCAUGGGAUGAAGAUCUGCUAAAUUCUUCCAUUCUGUUUAGUGAUUGUGGCUAUAAUGUUACUUAUUUUGGAGGUUUAUGUGAAUGAAUAUGUUGCACAGCGAAAUCAAGAAUUUUGCUCCCUCUCCCUUCACCAUGGUUGUUCCCUCUGCGAGAUGACAGAGUCUGCCCAUAAGAGUAAAUCACUUAUGAUCAGUUUUGGUCCUUUAUGUACUAAAAUACCCUAACUUCUUAUUUACCCUAUAGCAAAUCUUCACCCGCCCUCUCUCUCUCUUGUUUCUUUCCUCCCUAUUUUUUCCUUCAACUGCCCAUAUUCCAUUCAUUCACCCACUAUCACAAAAGUUCUUUCUUCAUCAUAAUCCCUUCCGUGCUACCACCAGUCCCUCUUCCCGCCUCCCAUCUCCUAGAGCAUGACCCCCAUUUCUUUCCUGCCAUCUACAAGCUUCUGUUCUCCUCAAACUGCUUAAUUCAGCAUUCUUGCAAGCAUCAGCAAUUGCCAGUGUCCUGGAUGACAUCUUCUCAAUGUUGGCUGGUUGGUGCCAUGAUACCAUUGCUAUCCAGUGUCCUUUACUCGUGAAGUAAGGAGUCCAGAUCUCCUACUUGGUUAGCAACGGUAGCCCUAGUCAUGCUACCCCGGCUAGUGCUAUCCGCCAAAUCACCAACAUUGGCAUGACUCCCUUGGUCGGAGCUUCCCAUCUUCAUUCCACUAGUCUUAUACACUUGAUACAUUGCAUGGUUUCUCGGCCAUGGCAGGCCUUAAGAGUAAUAGUUGGAGUUUUUUUUUGUGGACUCUACAACAGAAACCGAAAGUUUUUAGUUUCAGUGUGGACUGGUGAAAUUGGAUUUGGUUCUAGAGUAGCCAACUUUAAUGUAUAUAUAGGUUUCUUAAUCUGGUUAUUUUCUCUUUUUCUAAUUUCUUUAAAUGUUAGGGGGCAUUUUCUCUGGUCUAAUUCUAUGUUUUGUGAACAUUUUGAAGCAUUUGACGCUAGACUCAAAGGUGAUUUGGACAGCAAGUAAAUUUUUCAAUGUGGGCUUGGUUAUUUGAUAUCUUGAAUUGUAGACAUUUCUAAUAUCAUAUGUUCGUUUACAAAUGGUAUGGUGUAUACAAAUGACUUUUUGAAUAUUUUUUAAAAGUAAUUUUUGAUUGCUUCAUUGUGAAACUGCUAAAAUAAUACCGAUGGCCAGCACCCCCUCCCCCACCCCUACCCCUUUCUUUCUUCUCUCCACUACUAAUUCUGAGCUGGCCACCAAUAGGGGUCUUUGGACAUAUUGUUGUUUUCACUUGUUACUUUAUGAUGAAUUCCAAAGGCAUGGAACAAGAUAAUCUCUAUUUUGUCGAGCUUCUCUGCUCAACUUCUCUCUCCCCUUUCCAUCUUGGUCUCUCUAUGUUACCUUCUUCUUCCUAUCACCCUGCUCAUCUUUCUUUUUUUAUUAUUUAGGAUAGCAUUUGCUGCAGUUUUCCCUUAGAUGAAUUGUAAUUCAAAUAUGAAACUAUAUCAACCCUAAAAGGUUGCUUAACACAUCCCUAGUUUCACCUGGCUGUGUUAACUGCCCCUGCAGUCACUGAACUUGAGUCACCAUGGGCAGUCGUGUCCUUCAGGUAAGGGGACCAUUUAUAUGUUUUACACGUGGAAUCUUCAUCUUUAAACAGCAGUUUCCUGAAAUGGAUUCACAAUAUCGAGCAAUUUAAUGUGAGACAGAUCGCUGUGCCAGUGCAAAGUGUUGAUUUGAAGCCUGUAAAUGGUUGUAGGCUUGUAGCCUUUUGAAGGCAUUUCCCAAUCUCAGCUCUACUUGUGUAUAAACUUCAUGCCUCUAUCCAGUCCUUGUCCUCCCAUGGAAAACUCAAGCUGUUCACUCAGAUAUUUUGAGUCUAAGACAUGCACAAGACAUACCUAAUACCUUAUAUGAGUGUGUAUGAGCAGAAUUAUCCCUGAUUAUUGCAUGUAAAAUACCCGAAAUAAACAAAUGGAUUAUAGGGUUCAGUAAAGAGAAUGUGGAAAAUGAUGAUCCCUAUUAUGCAAGGUGGGAGGAACAACCCAAGCAAGCUAUGCCUUUUGUCUAGGAUGAACCCCUUGUGCAUGCACAGGAAUGUGCUUGUGAUGAGUGUAUAUGCAAUUAGCCUUUUAGAACUUGUGUUCUUAUUUGUUUUGGCUAAUGAUUCAUGCCCCAAAGAUGACACAAUUCCCCUUAUCAAACCUUUCCCACUUCUAUAUUCUUCAAGUCCAUUUGAAUUCGGUGGGGUGUUUUUCCUAGUUGCAUUAGCUUAGAUAACUGGUAAAGUAGGUCUUUACCUAGAAUUGGUCUUCUAUGUUUCAUGAUAGGCGUACCUUUUGUGCAAAGUUUCUUUGGCUAGGAAUAUAAUAUUAGUUCUAAAUGGUUGACAUCACAUGAGGGCCACUUGUAAAUUGUUCUCAAACUCUAGUGGGCCAUUCCGAAGCCAAGAUGUCAACUCCAUACAGAUGGGAUAAGGCUGAACACUUUAUUAUAUAUGCCAGACAAUGCCAAUGCAACCAACAGAACCAGAAAUUCUUUUCCAUCAGUUCUUCCUAGCUUGUUUCCUUUCAAUUGCUGCCUGAUUCUUCCCUGUUAAUUUGCAGCAGCAAUAUUGCUGUUUCAAUGUUUGCUCGGAUUUCUCAUCAUAUUCUGGAUUUCUAAAUAUAUGCUGUGUGUUGGUUUAUAAACUGAUUCAGCAUGUAAAAUAUUUCUACAGAGGACAGAGUUAUAUGAAUAUUCAAAGGUGCUUGGAAACUCACAGUUUAUCCUGCUACCUUUUCAACCAUACAAAUUAAUCUAUGCCUACAUGCUGGCUGACAUGGGGAAGGUUCCCGAGUCAUUGAGGUGGGUAGUAGUUUUUGUUCCCAUUUCAUUAUUACUUAUGCUUUAGCUUAUAUUAGCAUGGUUAAUUUAGGUACUGUCAAGCAUCUUUAAAGUUGCUGAAAAAUUCUGGUCGUACUCCUGAAGUUGAAAUGUGGAAAUCAUUGUUAUCAUCCCUGGAGGAGCGGUUGAAAACCCACCAGCAGGUAGCUUGAGCAGAAAAUUGUUGUCUGUAAGCAUCUACAGUUGCACCAUUUUCUUUCUGAUGCCUCUCUCCUGUUACUUCUGCAGAGUGGAUACAGCACAAACUUGGCCCCAGCAAAACUCGUAGGUAAAUUGAUUACCUCCCUUGAUAGAUCUCUUCACCGCAUGAUGGGUGCACCACCACCACCUCUGCCACCAAUGUCACAAAGCAGUGUAAAUGAUAAAGAAAUCUUCUCUGGGGUCCCAAAAGUAGCAAAUAGUCAAUCAACAAUGGCAAUGUCAUCAUUAAUUCCAUCAGCUUCAGUGGAGGCCAUGAGUGAGUGGACAAGUGAUAGUGGUAGGAAGAGUAUGCACAACAGAAGUAUUUCAGAGCCAAAUUUUGGUAGAAGCCCUAAACAGGUGGUUCCCUCUGCUCAAUUGGAGAAAAAUGUUUUUUCUUUCUCCCCAAAUUCACUUCUUGCAGUAAUGUUGGACUUUCACUGUCUAGGACUGUUUCUCUCUGAAAUUGUUGUUUUAUUUCUUUCCUAAUCAUGUUCAGCAAUAUCACAAUAGAUUCUUGAAAAAAUAUUUCAAUGCUCUUUGCUGACUUCAUACAGAACUCAUCAAAGGAUGCAGGCUCAGAUAGUCCUCAAAGCAAAGCGUCAGAAUCAGGGGGAUCUCGCUUUGGGCGUAUUGGCUCAAAUCUUCUCCAGAAAACUAUGGGUUGGGUCUCAAGAUCCCACCGCCAGGUACUUCUUUUGAUAUAAUCGAGUUGUAAUUCUCCCAGCUUCUUACACAACUUGAGCUUAUACAUGUCAUGCGUCUGCUAAAUCAUGACUGAAGGCAAAACUGGGUGAACGAAACAAGUUCUAUUAUGAUGAGAAACUUAAGAGAUGGGUCGAGGAAGGUGUUGAGCCUCCAGCUGUGGAAGCUGCCCUACCACCACCUCCAUCAGCGGCAUCAUUCCAGAAUGGUUUGCCAGAUUACAACAUAAACAAUGCCUUCAAAGGUAGCGAAAGUCCUGCUGCUAAUGGUUGGCCAGAGGUGAAAUCCUCAAUCCCCACAGAACAUAGCUCCGGAAUCCCACCCAUUCCACCCAGCCAGAACCAGUUCUCAGCUCGUGGUAGAAUGGGGCUUCGAUCGAGGUAGAUAACUGCUCUCUCUCUCUGUCUCUCUGUCUCUGUCCGUCUCUCUAUCUGUAGCUCCAAGAGUAUAUAUAUUUGGUGCAGAAGUGAUGGGAUGAGAACAUAUGAACUGUUUCUUUUUUUUUCAGAUAUGUUGAUACGUUCAAUAAGGGUGGUGGAACUUUGACAAACUCAUUCCAGUCACCUUCAGCUCCAUCUCUGAAGCCUGCAGCUGGUGCCAAAUUUUUCAUCCCUACCGCACCUGCAACAUCUGAUGAGCCAAAAACUGAAACAAUAGCAGAAAGCAGCCAAGAAGCCGCCCUUCAUGAAGAACCAUCUACAUCAGUUCUAAAAGAAGCAUCAUUUUCUUCGCCAUCAUCAUCAUCGCCAUCAACCAUGCAGCGGUUUCCAAGCAUGGACCAUAUUACUCCUGGAAACAAGGGUUCCGAGGCAGCAUUCCGAGGUGGCAAUGGCCCCUUAUCACGGACGCGUGCAGCAUCAUGGAGCGGAACUUUUACGGACGCAUCCAAUUCUAAGAUGGCUGAAAUAAAGCCAAUAGGUGGUGGACAGUGUGCGCCAUCAAUACUCACGCCCAGCAACGCUUCGCAUUCCCGUUCGGGCAGCAGCUCAUCUGUACGGCAUAAUGGUGGUUCUCUGGGCGAUGACCUUCAUGAGGUGGAACUCUGAUGCGUGAUAUUUUAUGCCAUGUUUGCAGUGGUCAAAACGCUACUACCCUCCCAAAAAACAGAGUGGGUAGGGUUCUACGGAAUUAUCUUGAGAAUUAUACUGCUUGAUGAAAUGCUCCACCCAAAAUGUUUCUGUACUACAGUCCAGAUUUUGGAUACCUGGCAUAUGUAUUCCUAAUGUGAAACUGGUGUCCUUUUACAUGAAAACAUGUGGAUGCCGUUGUACAGAUAAUUUGUUGAUUUAUUGAAGAUAGAAAUCCCAUAUUGUUCUUAAGAAGGGGCAUACAAAAAGAAAUCUUAAGAGCAAACUCUUGAGAAGGAUACUUCCAAUUCCAUAUUCUCGAAGGAAAGCAGCGCAAUAAGUAGCCACAUACCAUUAUGAUUUUUGUUGUGUUUUCAGGAUCCAUGGUUAUAUGGUAGUGCAGCCAUAAAGGCAAAAUGUAGUGAGGCAUUUUAAAUUAUUAGGAUGCUGGAUGAUAGCCAUGAGAGUAUAACUUUUUGGUGGUUGAGAAUUUUUUCUUGUGAAGUAAAUUACUAUUUACUAAGUACUCAUUUGGUUCGUGACAAUAAUUUUCUCAAAAAUAGUUUAUAUUUGGUUAAUAUUUAUUGUUUAUAAAAAAAAUUGUGUAAAAUAUUUAUUAUAUUUUUAAUAAAAAUAUAUUUUUGUUUAUAAAUUUUGACGGUUCGAGAGUAGUUUUGAAAAAAAAAGUAUCAAUUUUCAAUUGGUAAGAAAGUAGCUUUUUCAUCUUUCUCAUAGCUUUUUUUUUUUUAAUGGAACAUGAAAAUUUUAUUUUUUUGGAAAUGCUAUUUUUUUAUUGCUUGUAUGAAACUCCAAACUAGAGACUUUCUUCAUUUUUUUGUUGACCAUACUUUUUUUCCUUCGUUCCGUACGAUUCAAACGAAACAAACGAGCCCUAAGUUUUCUUUGUCGGUUCCAAGGGGCUGAUUUUUUUGCCCUAUUUUGUGAUAGAGCCUGUUGAUUUGGUAUUGCUUUUAUUUUUGUUUCCUCCAAUUUGUUCCAAUUGCAUGGACUUGAUGCUAAUUAACCAACGAUUCUGACCCUACUUGAUGGGGGAGUUGGCAUAUAAUAGCAAACAAUGAAUUGGAGGGAAUGCAUUUCGAACCUUUCACCUAGUAAAUGGUAGCCAUACUGACCUAGCCAAUUAAGGAGGUGGGAGAUCCUGAAAGAGGGGAAUGUAGAGAGGGGGCGUUGGGAGAUGCACGGGGAAUGGGGAAAAGGGUAGGAGAGUUGGCAUUCCAUACUAGAAUGGAUAUGAUUUGAGUGCACUUUGAGAAACGGCAGUCUUCCAAGAAGGACGAGCCUGUUUCGUGGAAAUCUACUCUGCUUUUAUUGUUGAUGUACUAAUAACAGAUGAUGCUAAUGCAGUUUGUGAAAAUUAUUACUUGAUAAGAUAUGGCAAUUUUUGGGUUCAUUGAAUUUAUGAUUAUUUCUAGGCUUUCACUGUCAUCCAUAUGAGGAUCCGUAUGGACGUGUAUUUAGUUCCAUAUUGAUUAGUCGCCGAAAAAAUUUUAGAUACUUAUAUAGGAUUAAAAAUCCAAAAAAUAUCUUAUGGCUGGUCUUUUUGAAUAAGGUUCUACAUUGUGACAAAUAGUAUGAGAGCGGAUCCAGCUCAUGAUCCAUGUAGAUUAGGAGACAUUGCAGCAUGAGCUCAUUAAAGCUAACUACGAGCCGAUCAUGGUGCUUGUGAUUAGAUUUGAAUAGAUUUGGACCCUUAGUCUGACAAAGAUACCAUGAUUUAAAUGGGAAAAGUAUAUAAGGAUCGGUACGGAUGUGCAUUUAGUCUCAUAUCGAUUAUUCAUUGAAAAAAUUUUAGGUACUUAGACAGGACUAAAGAACUCAAAAAAUACCUUUUUGGCAAAUCUUUUUGAAUAAGGUUCUCGGUUGUGACAAUCGACCUCGAUUAAAUUAUUGCAUUUGUGCCAGAAUUGUGGGCUGAUGAUCUAACUGGUAAUUCAUCUAUUGCCAGAAGCGUGUUUGCUGCACCUUCAGUCCAGUCCUGUCCUGUGUUUUCAGAAGCUGGUGACAGAUAAUAGGAUAAAUUAAGACACCAAUCCAGCACAAAAUCGAGUCUUUUGGUAGUGUGAUUCAGUGCGACAGGCUCUGAAAUUUCGACAAAGCACCAUAACAUUAUAAAUUUAAGAUAAGGCUAUGGUGAUUAUGAAGCUAGGAGGACCAUUUUUUCAAUAUUUUUGAGGUAGCAGGAGCAUAAGAAUUUAUUUAUAAAGUAUAUACCUGCGCAGUUUAACGUUCCAUUUAGUGUGGUCAUCUUUUUGCCUACAGAUGGAAGCACUACGUGGUUUUCAUCAUCAGGCAAGGGAUCUGCUGGCUCUCACUCCAUGUACAUGAAAUCCUGAGCAUCAUCUUGAUCUCUCCUUAUGGACAGCCAAGGCUUCCUGUGGCUAUGGGGCACCUAUGUUACACUGGCAUCCAAAAUGGCAUCUUCUUUGAGCCCAUAGGCUAGCACGGCACAUUGAGCCAGGUACAAACUAAGCAACAAGUGCACCUUAUGCACUUCUAUAAUGUUCAAAUCUCUCCAUGCCUCACGCAUUUGAAAAAAAGAUUAAACUUUAAUGGAAUACCUAAUUCUCUCAACAAGGAAUUGGAAUCUCAAAUAAAAAGAAUUUAUAUUUAGAUUUUUUGGAAAUAUUUUAGACUAGCUCUUAGCUCAUAUGAAUAAGUUCAAAAAUAAUGGCUAAAUCUUAGUUAAGAUAAUUUGGAGAGAGAGGAGAAAUGUCACCUAUCUCAGAGCAAAUUUUGGGCAUGACCGGCUACCGUUCAACCAUCUCUUAUGGAGUCGAAGCACACAAAAAGAAAAUAUGUGAGAAAGCAUGUGGGUUGGAAGGAAAAUAUGCUUAGUUGACCGGAAUAUUCCUAGGAGCAGGAUUCUCAAUUAAUCCAUUCUAAUUUUUUUAAAUUCUUAAAAUUGAUAAAAGAUUAAACAUUUUGCUUUCAUAUUUAUGCCGAGUAAAUCUAUGUGUAAUUCGUAUUUAAAUGGUACUCAAAUUUGUGAUCAUAUGAGUAAGAUAUAAAGUUGGAUGUCAAACCUAAUUCGUGUUCACAAUAAAUUUGAAAAGAAUUCCUAAUUAAUUUUUUAGAAUAAAAAAUUUCGAUGAAAUAUGUAAGAAUUAGGGCAGCGGGCCCGGCCUAGACCAAAGUCGGCAGGCCCAGCCGGCUUUGAUUCAUAUAUAUAUAUAUAUAUAUGAAGGGAAAGACCGGAACAAGGGGAUCGAAAGCCAAGGCAAAACGUGGCUAUCGGAGCGCCGCGAGUCCAUUGAACGGCCGCGGGGCAAAGGAACGGUUGGGGGGGCUAUAAAAGUAAAACCCCAGAUCUUUCCUUCCUCCCCGAUCGGGAGCGCAGCACUUCGUCGGAGUGAGGUAAGGACUUCCGCCUCCUUCUCACCCCCUCCUCUGCCUUUUCCUCUUUUAGAUCUACAGGCAAUCGCCGGGAUCCGGCAAAAGGCCGGGAUGUAGGAAGAGCACAGAAGAAGAGGAAGAAGAGGGUAGGACCUUGCGGUCCCCGCGGGUCAGAUCUGGCAAGAGGAUGCCGGAAGAAAAAAAAAAAGAAUAAGAAUAAGAAGAAGAAGAAGAAGAGAGAAGAAGAAACCGAGUUUCCUAUAAUGACUAUGGGAUUGGUAAAUUGCCUGAUGCAGCUAAAAUUACAUUGUAGGGGAAAAGAAACCGAUUUGCCUUGUCAUGUUGCAUUCAAUUUUCCUCAGUUUGUUGUUUUGAAUCUGUUUCCAGGCUUCAUGACAGUGUGGUGAUUUAUUUGCAGGAUAGUUUGGAGAGAAAUCUCUUUUUCGGUAACGUUGGUAUUCCAAUUGUUAUAUAUGGGGGAGCAGUCGUUUCUUGAUCGGAUGUUAUCCCAUCUCCGAUCGACCAGCAAGUGAGGGAAUCCAGAAUCCAUUUUUCUUGUGCAUAUCUUGGUGUUAUCUCGUUAAAUGAUGAAUUUUUAGAACUGCUUUAUAAGAAAAUGUGUUUGUUGUACUUAAGAUAUGGUGAUAGUGCUGAAUUUUUAUGCGUCAGUUGCGUGGUCUUUUUUUUUCUUUCUUUUUUUUAUAACUUACUGUGUAUGCUUCAUGAUUUUUCAAUAUUUUGAUAUAUAUUCUUUUUCCUUAUUGCUGCUUUUGCUGUUUAGUUAUUAGUGGUGAUAAUCAAACCGAUGAUGGGGAUGCUUUAGUAGUGAUGCUUAGUGAUGUGGACUGUUUAAAAUUUUAAUUAUAAGGUCCUGUAAGGAAAUAUCACCUAUACAUAAACGUCUGACAGUAUAGGAAAAUAGAAAAUGAGUUGGGAAUUGUUUACUGGAUACAUUUCUUGUGAUGUUUGGGAAUCUGGUUCGUGCCUUUUGCAGCUGCAAAUGGACAAUUCUAAAGGUUGAUUUCAUGUGCAGCAAUCAAAUUUCCAAAACAAGUUAGAAAGAGUCAGGUUUUUAGGUCUUUAUAAUAUCAACAUAUACGAUAUUACUAGUAAGCUAAUAUGACUGCUUCUAUAUAAUAUGAUCUCAAUAAAGAACGCAAGCUUAUCUAUAAAUUUCAUUUACAUAAUAUCUAAUUCUUUGGAUUGUGGACAACAACUAGCAUUCCAUAAUUCAAAACCAGAGUCAGGAAAUCGUGUAUAAAUCGACAUUUUAAAUAUCUAAUCAUAUUUGAUUAGCUACUGGUAUUAAUUAAUAAGCAUCCACCUAUCAAACAUAAACAUACAUGUGCACACUAGUAUCACAGGCAUCAUAAUUAACAUAUUGAAUUAACAGGUUUGCGCAUAGAACAGUAACAUAUAUGCUUCAUUUGGUGGGUGGAGGUGUGCGUGUUGGGGGGAGGGGGGUGUGGGCUGCAGGGGACAGUUUUACAUUACUUUCUUUGCUCGGCCAACAAAUAAGCAUCCGAGGUCAGGAUCCAUGUUAGUUAGGAGCAGAUAUCAACAUUUCUUGUCUUCCUUUUUGUUUAAAGCAUUUACUAGCCUAGGGAGACCAUGGGGGAUUUCUGCUCGGUUGCAUGAGCUUAAUCCAGAUGACUAAUAAGGUUAGUGUUUCUGCUCAUCAGCUGUCUUCCUGGAUUCCAGGGAUUGCCCUUCAAUGCCCAAAAUUCUUUGCAGUUGACAUCUGGUUUGGGACUUGCAAAAAACUCUUAAUCACAAUUGGCAUCUUGUUGCAUGUUAAGCUUACGUAAAAGUAAACCUAGCCAUGGGUCUCUAGAAACUUCCUUAGGCACUUUGUUUGAGUUACUUUAUACUAAAUUUGUUUGCUUAUAUACAAGAGCCCAACAUCCAAAAACUUCCUUAGGCACUUUGUUUGUUUUAUGUAAACAUUUACUAUGCUAUUUGGUGCAAGGCUCUUUGGUGGAACACAUCUUGUAAUCUUCCUUUUUUCAUCAACAAGAGUAAUUACAGAGUACAACAAUGACAUAAAAUAUUCUAAAUGUCCAAUUUGUAUUAAAAAAAUUGACAUCCUCUAACCUGUAAUGACCUUUUUGGAAUUUAUAUUGAGAAAAGGUACGGGGUCGCUGUCAGCCUUUCUUCCUGGUAACAUGCAUUUUGCAUUCUUCAUUUUCCCUUUACCAUCUUGUAUACCAUCUGGUUAUGUAACUGCAUCUUGUUAAAUGAUUAUUUACCGAUAAACAAUUUGAUGCAAAUUGAGUCUAAGUGUUUGGCACUCGUUGAAGUUUAUGCCUUUAUGCAUGCUGCUUACUACAUAGUUGACCAUUUGUCAGAUGUAUUUAAUUAGUGUUAUACAUUAAUUUUAUUCUAAUGUUGUUCUGAAUCUUGAUGAAUAUUAGGUAUUACACUGGAUAUCCAAAGGAUAUUGGACCUUCGCGGGUUAUCCAUUUUACCUCAGAGCGUCAGUUUGUUCAGCUUCUGCAUGAAGGCCAUCCUGUGGUUGUUGCAUUUACUAUAAGGUUAUUUUGUAUAUGUUAAUUAUUUAGUUUAUCUUGAGAUUACUACUGGAUUCAAAAGAAAAGGGAAAAAAGAAUGAUCCUCCUCCCUCUCUGUGAGUCUAUAUCCAGUUUUUCCACCAGCAUCUAAACUAAAUCCUUAAUUAAUGCUCCACUGGAAACUAAUUCUUGAUAGGAGGGUUUUGGACUGGCCUAUGACAUGAUAGAAAAUUGCAUCAAUUGGAUAUGUCAUUUUCCCUUGAUGUUCAAUCAAAAGAGUAACUGUAUUAUGAACAUAAGGAUUUGGAGGUAAUCAAUUCAUUGGGUUGGUGUGCAAAUCCAGUAAAUGCAGGAAAUUGUAGUACUGCAUGCAUGCAUUGGCAUACUAUAUGACUUAUUUUUGUAGCUUGAUGCAUAUUUUACAUAUUUUAUUGUAGGGUUCCCUAUACGAAGCAUCUCGAUAGAGUAUUGGAGGAGGCCGCUGCUGAGUUUUAUCCCCAUAUAAAAUUCAUGCAUGUAAGACUACUAUCUAGCAAGUUCUGCAUAUGUUACUUUUAGACAUUUUUUAUAGCUUGCUCAUUGAGGAAUAUCAAUAUUAUUCUUCUUUAUAGCUUGCUCGUUGGGAAUAUUAAUAUUAUCCUAUAUCAUAAUGCUGUUUUUUUUAUACUUCAUUUCCACCGAUUACCUAACUUAGCCAGUGCUGCUUUUUUGCUUAGCUGCAUUUAUGUAUCAAGAUCUUUGUUUUUUGUUUAGGAAUAUCAAGACAUAAUGGGAGUUUAUGCUUUCAGGCAGUUUAUGAUAUUCUUUCAUUUCUUGCAUUCCAAACACUUCAAUACAUGUAAUUUCCUGUUCACGAAUGUGAAAUUUCUCAGAUGCUUAACAAUAUACCAUCCAUCAGUUGUUCAGUUGUAUUAUCUCUGAUCAACAUUGCUUAGACUGGGUUAAAGGCAUGUUCUAUGGUCCCAAAGUUUUGGCCAAAUAAGCUGGAGGUAGGUGGUUUUGUUAGUUGACAUCCCUAGUAGCAUUGAAGUCUCAAUGGAGAAAGUUAAUCUGGUCCAGAUUGCGGGUCUGUGAGGAUUAUAGUGUUUGAUGUGCUACAUUAUUGUAGUCAGUUCAUUCAUCUUUUAGGUAUUGGUUUACUUUCAAAACUUGGGCUCUUCAUAGGCAAUGCUUAUACAUUUUCUGUUAAGUCAGGCACCCUUUGUAUCCGUGAAAUUUAGAAUGUUGAAUGCCUCUUAACUAUUCCCUUUCUAUAUAAUGUGGUGCGAGUUAUUAGAUUCUUUAGUUUGCUUGUGCUCUUUCAACUUCCAGAUUAACUUAAUUUAUCUUAGUUUUCUCUCCUUUAUUGCAACAAAUGAUGUUGACUUUGGCUGUUUCUGCUUCCCUCUGGUUAUGAUAAUGUGGGCAAGUUGAAAGGGGAGGUUUUUUAAAUAUAUAAUGACAAGUGAAAUUUGACGUUAAAAUUUUUCAACUGAUAGAUGCAUUGCAUUGUGAAGUGGGCUUUGGCAGUGCAAAUAAAAAAAUGGCUUGUUUGGUGAUGCUGAUUGGCAGAAAAAAGAGGAGAUUUCUUGCUGAAGAUAUUGGUUUGAUGUGGUGGGUUGUAGAAGUUGGCCUCCAGUACAUGGUUCUCUCAUGCUUAUGUUUGAUGAGAGCCUGCUGGCUUAGGUUCAGAUUGAAAACUACAUCUCUCUUUUCCCCUAAGUCUAGAUUUUGUUUGGAUCCAUCAUGUGUUUUGUGAAAUUGGAUAUGUCAAUUCUGAAAGAGGGAAAGAUGGAGAUAGGGAUCUCAAAAUUAACUCUAGGGUUCAUGAAACUUGACAUUUUACAAGGGUAAUUUAGUACCUGUAUUAUUGAUUAAGAUGAGAAAACAGCAAAACUGGUUUUUAACAUCACUAUGGUGGGCUUAACUCAUUGUUUUAUUGCAAUGCUCCCCCAAUAUCUGGAAGUUGCAACCAAGAAUUUGAUAAGUGCCCUGGUGGUUGAUGUGUGUCUAAUUCAUUCAUAUCUUGUCCUGGUGGCUGACCACAAUUGCUAGACUUCGUUUUGGUUCGCUUGAUCAAAUAUAUUGUGUUUGUCAGGAAUUUUCCUUAGUUUGACAUGCUUUAGUACUCUUCUACGGUUCGCCUGCCAAACAGCUUAGAUUUAUGAAUGAGUUAUGAAAUAGUGGCUAAUUUACUUGGUAGUUUUGAUAAGUGUCCUUGGUGUAUUUUAGUAUCUUCUUAUCAAGUUUUGUAGCAUUUCGUUCCAUGGUUGGUUAUAAAAUAGUAGUUUAUUACUUACCAUUUCUUUCCGUGGUCCAUCUAGGUUGAGUGCCCCAAAUAUCCAGGAUUUUGCAUUGCAAGGCAAAGGAAAGAGUAUCCGUUCAUUGAAAUAUAUCACAGCCCAGAGCAGGUAGCCUUUGUUUUACUCAGUUUUUGUUCUUUUGGUUUUGAUCUAGUGUAAUUACUGAGGAAAAUAUAGAUGCUUCUCCCAUUCUUUGAUAAUCCAGGCCUAUUGACCUGUAAGCAUAUUUCCUGUGUUAGAUAGACCAGGGUACGAGUACUAGAGAUUUUCUUAUAAAUAUGUCUGAUGUUUUGCUUGCUUCCAGCGACUAGGUCUAAUUUUAUAAAUAUAUUAUCUUUGCUUUUGCUUUUUCUUUUUUUUUUUGGGGGGGGGAUAUGGGGUUAAUUACCUAGGUUCAAAUCCUUGGUUAAUGCACCACACAAGACCAGCCCAGAACCUCCCCCAUUGAGUGGAGGGGUGCAACUGUUAGUGCCCAGGUCUUCUUUCAUUUCUUGAAUUAGUUCCAACUAUAAUGUAGCACAGUUUGGUCAGAUAAUGUCAUUCAAGUUUUAUUUACCUUUUCUUUUUGUCGCCUUGCUCAGACAGCUUGUUUUGGUUGGAUGAUGAGAUUUAUGCUUUCAUAAUUCUGUCAUCAUCUGUUUAUCUUCUCACUUUCUUACCAUUGAUCAGGCAGCUGACCAAGGAAAAUUGGUGGAUCCCAAUAUAAAAAAAUACUCAGUCAAAGUGUUGCCUGUAAGUUUGUGAUCUUGCCUUACCUUCUCAUCUUUAUAUUGAUGUUUAAUAUGAAAAUGAUAUUUUCCUGAGACCUCGUAACAAAUGCAUUUAGUCCAGAAAAUAAAAUUGCAGACCCUUCGUGUCUGAUAUAUUGGUUUAUUCCUGCACUUAUGGUUGGUUAUACUUUCAGGAACCUACUUCAUAAUAAUACCUAGCAUGGUACCCAUUUGAUGUUCUAGAGACCUACAAGUCACCAUGUGUGCUUGUUGGUGGGCAGUAGAUUUCUUCCCUGCCUAGUGGUGAUUAUUAAGGUCUUUCACAUGAGCUACAGUACUCGAGCUAAUAUAGCUCACGAAUUCGGGUUCUCAAUAGUUUUCCUAUCCGAGAAUAUUCAGGGGACUUCCUUGUUGAUUUGGUUAUUUUCAUUAUUUCAAGUACCAUAUCAAAAGGUCCAAAUACUUGGGGCCCAGGGUCCUCUAAGUUGGAAUUUUGCCUAAUUGGUUACGCUCGCAUUCUUGAACUAGGAUGUCUACUUGGGUCCGCUAUGAGCAAGUUUUCCAAUUCUUCUGCCAGAUCUGUACUUGACCUUGUAGGAGUUUGGUAUCUGUCCUUUUGUUGUUGAUGUGGUAUGAAUUGAGCCCAGAUCUACUGUAGAGCUGGAUGUAGGCUGAUGGAGAAAGGAUCAUUCAUGCUUUGUGUGGGGAAAUGUUAUAGGAUAUCUGCUUUCUCAGUUCUGUUGGUAAUUUUUUUUCCCCUUUCAUUUUCUUUGCAGUUUAACUAUGACCUAAGUGCAUACGGGUUUCGCGAAUUUUUCAAGCGGCAUGGGACGCAUGUAUCUGAAACCAGCUAGAGCAGCACUUCCUCUAUCCAAAAAAAAAAUGCAGCACUUCUCUGGUUCAUCCUUACUAUUUUCAAGGAGCCCUUGAAUUUUACUUGAAAAUGGAGUUCCUUCACAUAUGGGAAGGGAAAAUCUCCGCUUCGACUUGGAGUCCCAGUCCCUGAUUAAAGCUUGAACCCUAUUCCCAGCAUUAUGGAGUACGAGCCAUUGCUGCCGCCUGGAACUGCAUCAUAACAUCUAAUGAAUGAGAUAGUAUGUGUCAAGAACACAGCAUUAAUCCUCUGUUCUCAGGGUUCUGCUGUAAUAAUACAACUUUUGUAGCUGUCCAGUGUAAGGAGGAAUAUCUAGAAUGCAAUCUCUAAAUAUUAUUAGAUGACGUACCGAAGAUUGUAGUCUACAAGGUCCACCGAGACCAUGCACCAUAUCACCCAAGUUAUCAUGAGUCUAGCUGAAGAAUUUGCAUGAUCAUGCAUGAUGCUGAAACUAGCAGCCUUUCAGUUGUCAGCGCUUGCAACUGGAGUAUUAAGUCCCAUACUGGUGCUGUGGAUGAUAGUGGUGGUAGCAGGCGGGUCAGGACAAGUAGAUGAUGGAUCCAAUAUCAUGCUGAUGAAUGAAAUGCCAGAGUCCUAAAACAAUUAACUUGGCCUGACAACUAAUCCAUGAACUCAAAUUAGACCUAAACCUAUGAGCCCUCAUACAAGUGUGCGUUUGGUUAUGAGAGAUUUUAGAUACUUAUAUAGAAUAAAAAAAUUAAAUAAUUUUGUAAUAUCAUCUGUUAAGUCUUUUUGAGUAAAAUUUUGGGCCGCUGCUCUUUGAAUAGAAUUUUGGGUCGCUGCAAAUGGUAUCAAAAUAGACCUAGUCUAUAAUUAUCUAAAGUGGAAAAUACUAUAAUAAAGGUGCGUUAAGCUAAUUAUAGUAUUUAUGAUUAAAUUUGAUUGAAUGUAGAUCUUUGGCUUGAAUGAGAAGGCCAAAUAAUAACUUUCAAUUUUUUUUUUAUACAUGUAUUUAGUUCUACAUUGGUUAUGCAUCUAAAUAAUAGUUUUGAUUUUUUUAAUUAAAAUAUAUAUUGAAUUCUUGAUAUAAGAACAAGAAAUUUAAAUAAUACGUUCUAGCUUUUUUUUUUUUUUGAAAAAGAUCCUAAAUAAUAUUUAUAAAAAAAAGCAACAUACAAUAGAAAAAUGCUAAUUUACAGCAGAUAUUUACUAGAUCAAUCCAACAACCUACUCCAAAGUCAACGGAUCAACAGGGGAAAUAAAUGAAUAAAAUGUAAAUAAUCCCCCUCCUAAGUGCCCUGCCAUCUGGCAGCACUAAUACAACAAUACAACAAUUCACAAAUACACAGCUGACGCACAAGAAUGGCCAAAAUUGUUAGCACGAAUAAGAUCAUGAAUAAGAUUAGUCGAUCAGAUCCCUUCAUGUCAUGGAUAAUAGCUCAUCUCUCUUAAUAGAGCUUGCUGAAUCGUGGUGGCCAUGACGGCUCUCCUAGCUUUGGAAAGAAGGCCUCCCUUUCAAACAGGACCUGCAAGGAGCCCAACACCCUCAUCAACGAACCCCAAAGAACUGGGGCACAGCAGAAGGCGUAGGCAAACAAUGACAAGGCCCUGACAAUACCAUCAGAAUACAAAGGGAAUGCCAUAACAAAUAGAGCACCAAAGAUCCCCAUCCAGGGUGCAAGGACAGGGACUGGUGGGAGCAUGAAGAGAUUGAUUACUAUAGAAGCUAGAGCUGAUGAGCCAAACAAGUAGAGAGACCAGCCUAGAAACGGGUGCACGGCACGAGGGAUCAGGAAGAAGGGAAUGGUGUAUGCUGCUAAUAUGGACCAUAAAGCAGCCACCUUGAUCAUGGUGUGUGAGAAGGUGAAGCUCCUCUUCUCAGCUCGCCGGUUGUAACACAGCUUCAACAAGCUGGGCCGUGUCAUCUGGGUAACUGCCAUGACCCCAAGAUACAGUACAGACUGGAUCAGUAUCACCGGCAACUCUAAACUGUACCUGUUCACAUAUAUGUGAAGGAAAACCAGAAACAUAAUGUUAGGUUUCAAGCUCCAUAAAGCAUUGCAUGGUGCAUGUUUUAGCUAGCAAUCUGGUCAUGUUCCCUUCCUAAUCACAUUACAUGCGUCUUUUCAAAAACCAGAAUCACAACCAGUGAUAGCCUUUAAUGUACAUGUCCAUGAAAUCUUGACAGUUUGCAGGAUUAUGAGGCUUGUGACUUACCCAAGAGUUUUUCGACGUUGCUCGUGCCAAGAAAAGCCUAAAGGCAGGACUGGCCAAGACCACCAAUACCAUGGCUUCAACCAUGGUGCACUAGGGAAAGUAAUUACACUGUUUGGUCCACAUGGUAUGCUCCAACGAAGCUUGAGAUCUGUAGCAGUAAAAAGCCCAAAGGAUUGUCUCUGUGACAUAUAUUAUCAGGUAAUGGGAGAAAACAAGAAGGCUAGGUUAUGGUAAUUACAGUAGUAGGAAGCAUCCAUCUGGUAUCCCAAAGGAAGGCGAUACAUGCCAUCUAGCUUGGAACCAUUGGAAGGUGGAUGAAACAUUGGACGGUCAAGCAAAUCUGGGAAGUAGCUGGUGAGGAAGCCCUGAUCUGCACCAUCUGGAUUUUCUCGUCCAGUUUCUAAGUCAUGAAACAUGCUUCUGAAGACCUCCAUUGAAGGCUGCAGCUCCAAUAGAAUAAAUUGUAUCAGAGAAUUCAAAGCAGCACAAAUUAGUUUCUCAACGGAACAUGCAGGGCACGAAGUCCAUAGAAGGUGUGAGCACAAUAUUGACAUAUGCAGGAAACCAAUUGUCCAGGGAAACAAAACUAAAUGGACUGGAAAGUUUUUAUUAUGAAAAGCAGAAACCAUCAAUUUAUCAAUUAGUAUGAGAAUCUUAGAAAACAAAAAACUUUAUUGCAAGGGCCCAUGCUAUUGCAACAAAGUAGAACUGAAUGGGUUUCCUUGUAAUUUUGGGAUCAAAUCUGAAAGUUAUGUGGUUUUAGGAAUCAAUCUUGAGAGUUAUUACAAUCAAAGGUCAAAUUCUAAAUCCAUGUUGAGGACCUUGAAUAAGACUCCAACAAAAGGAAUUGAAAGAUGUCAAAGAGUGCAAAGGUAAUGGUCUCUUUAGGUAGAUGAAUGCCUGAAGAAUGAUGUAACAAUUUAGGACCUCAUCCAAAAUGGCUAGCUGGAAGAUAUUAUUUGGGUUUCUUGAUCCUAUAUAAGUACCCAAGAUCUUUCCAGCGAAUAAUCAACGUGGGACUAAACACACGCCCGCAUGGGUCCUCACAGAUGAGGUAUUAAUUUUCGAGUUAUUAACAAGAUGCAACACAACAUUGUAUUGGAAUGUUUGUAGAAAAAGAAAUGCUCUGGAAUGUUUGUACAAAAGAAAUGCUCGCAUGUUUCUGCAGAACAUAUCUACCAUUAUCACUGAACAAGCUGCUUCAAUCAUUUCAUCUUUGGGGUAACCUUUGUGUUGCCAAAGCUCAGGCAGGCCACCAGCUGGUCUCACAGUAGCUGGUCUCACAGUGUGUCUUGCAGCUUGCAAAGCCUUCAGAGACCUGAGUCCUUUUCUUAAGUUUGCUUCUGUUGUAGUUCUUUCUUAAUGUCGUUUUCCUUUCUCCUCUCUUAUACUAUAUAUAAGCUUUCUUCAAAAAAUUGUGGGGAAUGAUCGCCCUCCCUCUUCUCCAUUCAAAGAAAAACAAAAAGAAAAGCAAAGACGCAGCACGUAACAGUAUAAUCCAACCACAAGAGAACAUCCAAAUAGCUCUAUUUCUGACAAUCCAAAAUCCAUUCAAAGGGCAGCGAACUUUAAAGUUCUUCGAUAGAACAUACUGGAAAGCAAGCAAGUGGCAAGGGAACAUUGCACCUGAAGAACAAAGAGCCCAGUGUGGAAGAUGCAGGGGUUGAUGAAGACAGCACAGAACUGACCACACUGGAAGAGCUCAUCGGUUCUUUGAAGGAAGAGGUUGUCGGAGUCGAGCAUGACAACCCGGUCAUACGCCACUAGGCUCCAUGCAUAAAGCUUGUUCAGUGUCAACUUAAACCUGGAAUUGAAGUUGUCCUGCUUCUCAUAUGGAUUUUUCAAGUUCUCCACCGUAACCACUUUCACACCAUCCUCUUUCCUGUUAAUAUAGAUCAGCAACAAAUCAGAUCCAAAUGGAACUUAAAACAGUAAUUCUGAAUCUGAUUCUGAAAAUUCUGAGUCAUGGAUAAUAAGAAUUAUCUUCUCAUCUUACAAUAUUAAUAAGAAUUAAUACUAAUUAUAAGUUGCACUGAUCAAGAACACAGUGGUGCAGUAACACAUAUAUUUUAAGCAUGUAACAUAUCUGUAAUGAAGUUGAGUAGGGAUUUUUUAUAUAUUCUGUAAGAUCGAGUUUUGUUGGUUAGACCAACAUGGGUUUGUUUAGUUGUUUUGAACCAUGGAUCUUCUGAAGGGCAAGCUUUUAGAAGGGAUGUGCCAACCAACUAAGCCACCAAUUGUUGGCAUAAAUAUAUUUCCUGAGGUAAAUGUAUAUAAUAGAAUAUAACAAUUAAUUGUAUAAUUAUUAGCUUAUUAGUAAAAAAACAAACAAAGAACAUGCACGGGUUAUCAAUUGUCAACAACCCACAUAGAAUUAAUUAAAAACUGUGCAUAAAUCAUCAUUAACACCACAAGAGACAAUUAAUUAAAUUUGCAACAUGUUUGGUUAUGUCAAGGAAUUGUACUAAUUCGGCUCAUAUCCCAUAUAAUCUAUGGACGCUGUAAAUUUCAAACAAUUAAGAUUUUUGGGUUCAAGCCCAAAUCAAAUGAUCACCGGUAAGAUUAGACCCAAUUAUUAUCACGCAAACAGGGGAUUUAUCCACCCAGUUGCAUCAUAUUUCGUGAAAGGGCAUUUCCGUUAAUUUGGAGAAAACCAGGGGUAUAUUCAGAGCCGCAAAAUAGCAGCAUAUCCUUGUCGGUUUCCAGAAAGGAGAAACAAAACCUGAAGUCAAAAUCUUUGGACUCACGGGUAAAACGCCGCGUGGAUUUUAAGCCACGGCAAAAUAACCCCAUAUUUUAAAAAAUUUAAAAAGAAGUUCCAAAAAUUUGUCCCCACUACAACCACCAGAAUUACGAAAUCACUACGCCAGUCAUUUAAUUCCCAAGACACUGAAAAACAACGCACAGUGGCGAUUUCGUGGAUUACUGGAAUCCAAAGGCUUCAAAUAAACAACCUUUAAAGCUCGAGAUUUUAAGAAGGCAAAAUUAAUCUGUACGAAACCGAAGAGUCCACGUGAUCUCAGCCGUCCGAUCACAACUAAUCUCGAAUAAAAUUCCAAAUCGACGCAACCUCACCUUAAGAACAAAAAACCGUAAAAAAAUUCCAAAGCGAGAGAAUAAGCGGGAUAAGAAUAAAGAGCGGUGGGAAUAAGGGGAUGGGAUUGCGUACAGGGAUCGAGUCCAUGGGAUGGGGACGUCGGAGGAGGCGAUGACGACGAGGUCGGCGUCGACGCGAAGCUUGACCAGAGAUCGCAUCAUCACCCGCGUCGCCACGUAGAACUCGUAGUCCCUCGGCGUUCCCAUGUACAUCAUCGCCGCAUACGCGUGUCGCCGCCUCUUCCCCUCCGCCGCCGACACCGCUGCCGCAAGCACCACCGCCACCACCGCCACGAGCCCUAAUCGCCUCCCCAUCUCCUCCCCACAAACGAAUUCAAGACGCACAGAAAACCUAAGCGGAAGCUGAUACGAGCUCCGAUCUCGUCCUCCGACGCCGCCGAUCCUCCUCUACUCCCAUUCCCCCGAUCUCCACCACCGCAAGAGGGAGCGCAGGGCGAGAGAGAGAAGAAGAAGGGGAGGGGAGAGGGAGCGACUGCUCUCUUCAGAGGAAGCGCCUGAAAAGAACUAAUUUGUAAUAUAAAAAGGAGAACUUUGCAUGAAGGCCCCUGGACAGUUUCAUAUUUACGUAAAAAAAAAGAGAUGCUUGGUCCUUAAGUUUUGGUUUAGGUUGGACCACAUGAUUGGCAUGAUAAGAUUAAUGGCACAAGUUAGCCUGCAUUGUUUUUUCUUUUUUUUUCUUUUGAUGAAAGUUAGAGUGUGUUGUUACAUGCAUAUUGGAUGUUCUAGAAAUAUUUUGUUUAAAGUAUGAUCGGUAAGAUGAUCAAGUUCUUCGCAAUGAUUACUUAAAAUAGAAGUAUUUGUUUACUUAUGUUCGUAUGGCUAACCGGACUUAAUUUAGGUUAUCGGCCAUCCUUGGUGUUUUUAUGAAGAAUAAUACCUAAUUUAUUCUUGUAUCUCAUUAUUUAUAUUUGAUUAUACACACAUGCACAUACUCAUGCAUGUAUCCAUGGAUUUGUAAUACAAUCAUUGAAUGACCUUACCACAAAGACAAGUUGGCGCCCUCAAAUAUAUUAGAUAAUAUUUCAAGGAUAUGCGCCUUUGUAACAAAAAGUUUUGCAUUCAAAAUUUGCAUCCCAAAACUCUUAGGCCCAAAUCCAUCCUUCAGUGGGGUAUGGAGGGCACAAGUAUUUGAGCUAGAGCUCUCCUAUUAGGGUUGUUGCCCAUAAACUUCUUUCUACCCCAAACAAAAGAAAAGAAAAAGAUUUAACCUUUUUAAUUAGAUUUAAAAGACUAACAUAUAUUCCUUUUGGAAUAUCCCAUAAACGUGUAAAACAAAUUGUUUAAUAUACCCUCAAUGCAUAAUGUAGGCUACUUUAGUAGUGUGUAUAGGCUUAAAUUAGUAUAUGAUAUUAGGGCUCGUUUGGUUCGCGGGAAGCAUUUUCCCCCUAGAAAUAUGAUUCCUGGGAAGAAGAUUCCUAGGAAGAGAAUGCCUGGGAAUGUACUUUUGGCAUGUUUGGUUUAACAUGGAAAAGUAACAAAUUUUUAGAGUGCUUAUGUUUGGUUGACCAUCCACUUUCUUGGGAAAGUUAUGUGUAAUUCCCAUAAUACCCUUAAUAAAAGUUAGGUCUUUAAUGCCUAUUUAAUGNNNNNNNNNNNNNNNNNNNNNNNNNNNNNNNNNNNNNNNNNNNNNNNNNNNNNNNNNNNNNNNNNNNNNNNGAUGGAGUGAUUCCCGCCUCAUGGGAAAGUAAUUUUUCCAUGUUUCUCAUGGAAAAGACUUUCCCAUGAAAUGUGGGAAUCAUAUUCCCAUGGGAAUACAAUUUUUCCAUCUCUCUCCUUUGAAAACUCCAACCAAACAAGGGCAUUUUAUUUUUUUCGUUGACCACACUUUUCCCCCUUAUUUUUCUGCGAACCAAACGAGCUCUUAAUUUCUAACGUUGGACAGAUUGGUUACAAUGUGUUUGUCGUUUAUAUAUCACAAGUUUUACUCAAGUAGAAUAGUGGACAUUAGGAAAAUAUUUCUUUUUUCAUUGAUAUACUUGCACAUAUAAUCAAGUGAUAGUGUAGAUGUAACCGUUUUAUAACUAAAUAUCAAGUGAAAGACAGAAAAUUAUUCAGGAAAUAGGAAUCAUGCAACCUAGUAGACUACAGAAUUAGUUACAGAAUUAAGUGAUUUCUAAUAACCCAACUUGAUUAACUUAAAAAUGACUGGAUUUAAAAGUUUUGAUGGGAUCUGGUGUUCUAGAGUUGGUAUGAUCACACAUCUUGAUUAACUUCAAAAUGAUUUGGAUUUGUUUCUUAAUAAAAAAAAGGAUUGUAUAAUCUUGGCAAAAUCAAUCAUAGAUAUUCUGGUGAAAAAAUAAAUAAAUACAAGUUCCGACAAACUUAAUUUAGAGAUAUAGUUUCACUCGAUGUGCAACAUUGAUAAGUUUCGCUUGGCUUGCACAAUGAUUUAGUCCAGCCUAACUCACCCACCAUACUUCAACAUUAGCAUUCGGCAUGUAUGGUGCAUGAGAGAAGUAUGGAUAGUAAUAAUCUUUAUAUUUUUGAUAAAUAUAAUUUUAAUUUUUGAUCGGCACGCACCUUCAUUGAGAAUAGAGAAGAGUUAGAACUUAUUUUGAGGGGAAGAUUUUGAUAUUUUCUCUUAUUUUGUCCUUGCUAGACUAAGAAUUUAUAUCCAUUUAAAUCUAAUCACAGAAGCCAUGAUAGGCCGGUGGCCAACCCUGAUGGACCCAUGCUACAGUAUUCCCUAUUCUAUAUAACCAUAGGCCGGAUCCGCUUUGAUACUAUUUUGUCGCAACUCAGAACCCCACUCAAAAAGACUAAUUGGAAGGUAUUAUUUAGAUUCCUUAAUUCUGUAUAAGUACUCAAGAUCCACCAAGCGAAUAACCGAUGUAGGACUAAACGCAUAUCUGCACGGGUCCUCACAUACUCCUUUUAUUUAAACCCUGAUGUCCUCGUUAGGCUAAGAAUCCAAAUCUAUUCAAAUUUAAUCACAAGCACAACGAUUGGCCCGUGGUCGCCUUAAUGAGCCUGUGCUGCAGUGUCCUCUAGUCCAUAUAGGUUAUAAGCCGGAUCUGUUUUGAUACUAUUUUAUUUGCUAAGAUCUCACUCAAAAAAGAUAGCCGAAAAGUAUAUGCCGCUACACUUUGAGAUAAAAAUGGUUAAUCUUCUAUCUCGCAUGCAUUAUUAAGAAAUAUUCUUUAUUCCAUGCAAGAAAACACCAUGUCCAUCCUAAAAGGCCCAAAAGAGUUUUUUAGACAUGCUAGCUUCAAAUUAACACUAUAAUCUUCGUGUGUUGCACCAAAAUACAAGAUUUAUCUUCUUUCCAAGGAUGUCAUCAGUAGAUGUUAGCUCACCUAGCUUUUACCUUCCUCUCCAUAUAAGAGAUCUCAGUUUCAAAUUAUGGUGGCGACCUAUUCUCAAAAAAAUUCCUUCCAAAAAUGUUUUGGAGUACAAGAACCUCUGUAAGAUUAAUGGUGGAUUUUUUCAGAUUAUUUUCACCUAGGUAUCACUAUAUAUAUUCAUAAGAUUCAGUUUAGAUUCCUUAAAGAUAACUGUUCCAAUAAUCUGUGGGAAGAAAGGGUCAAGGAAUAUCCUAUCAUCAUGAUGGAGAUGUGUCCGCAUGCCUGAUGAAUAGAAAAAAGGUCGCCAUGCAACCAUGGUUUUAUUAACAUGGCAUCUUCCUAAAUAUCAAUGAAGCUUCUCGGAUAUGACAAUUACAAGACUAGAUAUAAUAUAGGCGUGCAAAAGAUGGGGAUGCAAGGAUGGAUGCAUGCCAAGCUAAAAUAGAGAGAAUCAUUCAAAAGAAUGGCUAAGAAGGACAACAGAAGGGACAAAGUCAAUGACAAAUUAUUUUAAAAAAUGAAGGCCAAAAAACGCUUAUCAAUAGUCACCAAUAUCUACCAUGAAAACCAUUCCUAUUUUUAUUUACAACAUAAAGAGCAUGGUGUUUUUUUUAUCUCUUUUUCUUUCGAUUGGAAGAGAGACAAAACCACCUGAUUUAUUAAAGAAGAGAAGAAAAGUAUGAGACAAGCAUCUAAUAGGAUAUCUUAGAUUAUUUCGUAUCUAUGUGUCCGUAAAUUGUGACAAGAUUAAAUCCUAGAGUAAUAGCAAGGAUAGUGAGGGAAUAAAGAACCAAAAGUUAUCCGUGGUGCUACUCGGAUUUGAUGACUUUCGGCGCAAAAAGACAAGCAUCCUGGUCGGGAAAUAAUAAAGAGUGGACAAGCAUGAAAGAGAAAAAGAGCGGCUGUUCCGGAGAAGAAGAUGGAGGUCUAUGUUCGCUUUCUAUUUGCUUUGCGUCUGUGCUUGGUUAUGGGAAUAAGAAAAGUGGAAUAAGAAUAAUUCUGCUUAUUGAAAUAGUUAUAUUCCAUUUCUAAUUAUUGUUCGACUAUGAUCCUUGAAUAAUUUUUGAUAGAAAAUGCUUUUGUUACUUGAAAAGUGGGAAGAAAGAGCUUUAAAUAAGAAAUGAUUUAUGACAGCUUUUUCUUGGAAUGAUUAUUUUGCCCCUAUCCAUUUUUUUAAAUACACCAAAGAGUGGAAGGGUAAUUCAGUCCUUAUGAUCAAAAUUAGUGAGGUAACCGAUGCAUUGAUUUAUUCUCUCUCUACUUUUUUUCUCCAACCAAAAGUCGAAAGAAAAUCUAUCCUGUGGAAUAGCUUAUCCCUUCUACACUACAAGGGGUAUCCCUUCAAAACUUAUUCCCUCUACCAAACACGCAGCCUAUCCUCAAUGGGUACUCUUAAUUGCAGGAUAAGGGGGUAUAAGGUGGUUAAAUAUUUUAUGUUUGGAUAAAUAAUUUUUAUCCAUGAUUACAUUGUGCCAUAGUGCAACUAACAUUGCGAUGACUAUUUUUGGAUUAGAAGACUAAUACGGCCUUAACUUUUUGGUUGCCUUUUGCUAAUAAAGGAUCACUUUGAUCCUUCCAAACAUAUGGAUGGGAUAGGCUACUUUAAGCAUAGGAAUGUUGUCCCCUCCUCCUUGACAUGGACUACUUGAGCAUCCUCCACCAUUGUUAUGAUACCCAUCAAAUUUUAUGUUUGUUGCAGAUUAUAUACUUAUAUUCUAUGUCACAAGCUCAAAACACAUCAAAAUGGGGAGGGAUGCAAAGAUUAAAAAAGAAGAUAGCAACAUAAAAAGCAUGCAAAGCAUGUGUGAUUGCAAAAUAAUAUACAGUAGAAUUGUCUUCACCGAAGUAGAAUAAACUACGUUCUACUGGAUGUAUUCGUACCCGCAUGGCAUGAUACACCUGUUUCAGCAAAAAAAAAAAAAGUAGAAUAAACUACCUGCCACUUUGGAGGAAUGAGAUCUAAUGCCAAUGGGACAGGAUGCCCUAGUUCAUCGCUACUGUGUUUUUAUGGAAAAGCUCAUCGAUGCAGUAAACCAACAUAAUUAUCAUUGUGUUUUCUCCACCAUAUGCAUAUUAUGCAAAUAUAUUUCAGCAGGUAAGGCAAAAAACAAUGAACUUCAUAAGCCAGUUUCCAGGAAUUUUUAUUGUGAGGCUUCGUGCGGAGAAAGCAGCAGCUCCCAAAAGAAACUAGUUGGUUCAAAGUGGACAAAUCAAAGUGCUCCAGCAGUUGCAGAGAUCAGAGGGCAGCUUCAGUGUGUGCAUGGUAGUAUCUCGCAUGUCCAUUGCCAUGGCUGAUCAGUAGAAUAUUUCACUUCUGGGCCUGGAACAUCCUUUGCAUGGGAAGCCUUCAAUAAUUCAUAUGCAUGAGAGAGAGAGAGAGACUUGAAUCAAUGUUCAUGUUCUGUAAUCACAUUCUGUUGAGUCAUCCUGGCCCAGUCACAAGGCCAUCAAUCAGGUUUUGCCUGCCAUCAUCAGCCAUCCAGAUCAUCUUCGCGCGGUACCACCCAUCAUUCAGGUCUUGCAUAAAGCUUCACCCAAACCAUUCGUGUAAAACUUGCUUGCCAAUCUAGAAGGUUUAACAAUGAAGAAGAUAUUCUCAGUAGGUAUGAAUAAAAUAAUGAAAAGAUGAAAAUGUUUUCAAAUAGAGAUAAGCUAGAGUAAAAAUGGCAUCCCCUGAUUCAACAAUUCAGCAUGCAUGCAUGCAUGCAUGCGUGGAAGCACGAAAGGAGGUUGAUGUCCCAUAAGAAUUAAUAUAGGAGUUAAUGAAGCGAAAUUAGCACUUCUAAAAUCAGUAUGAUCACCAUUCAUUAAAGGGGAAAAAUAUCACUAUGAUCAUUACAGGAGAACAAUCACAAACAUAUCCUAUUAGAAAUCAUAAAACAAUUUUUUUUUAAAGUCCAGCAUUGCAUCUGCCCUUCACUAGAUGGAGGUUGACUAAAAUUCGGGUUCAGUAUUUUUUUUAAUUGUAGAUAAACAAGAAAAUUUGCUCUGCAUUCCUCUACAAGAACCAUCAAUUCAAUUAAAAAAAAAAAUCAAAAGGCAAAGCACCUUAACUUUCUAGAAACUAUAGUUCAAAGGCAAAUUAUUUAAAAAACAGCAUUCUUAUACAUAUAUUAUCGCAUGCAGCCCAAAUGUGCACAACAGUUCAAUAGGCCAUCUCCUGGAUGGACGAUAAGCCUGAAAAUCAUAUUGAAUGGCUGAUCCUAUCCAUUCGAAACUCGGUAAUAUCAUUGAUCGUUAAAUGAAAUUAAGGCAGGAUGACCAUCAAGUAGUUCGAACACCUGAUAAAAUCAAUUCAGGCACCUGCUAAACCAAGACACAUCUAGCUAUUCUUGGCCAGUGAACCUCGAAAGUUACUUCAUGUAGCAUUGCAGAGCCCAAAAUUUCUGUAAUGAGGAAUUGAUGACAGGAAGAAGGGAAAAGAUUCAGGUGCUCUGAUCUCACCUGGUAGCAUCGUUUAACAGAAAAGCGAAAAACUGGCCACAAGUAUGUCCUCCUCUGGGUCAUACCUGCAGACAAUUUUUUCAGAAUUUAGAACUGCUUCCUCCCAUUUAACCACGUGAAAUACCAUACUAGAGGGUAUCAUUACAGGAAAGAAAUAUUUUCAUUUUAACUGCAGAUACCUGAGCACCGUGCAAAACAAAUCGCACCUUCGAGUGAAGCAAGCCAUCCAAACAGAGGUGAUUCUAGCAACCAGCAAAGUAUGGCAGUCAACCUAAAGAAUAAUAAUUAUGGCAAUCAGGCAAAAUUUGCAACACCUGUGCCUCCCACAAUUAAAAGUGCAGCCAAGCCAGUACCACUCAGACAAGAAAAAUGGCUACUCAUGAUCCAAUAUCACUCCUCAUCAACAAUACUAGGGAUAAUUUUUGGAAGUAGCCUGAAUGUUCCCAUUGAAGUUGGAGCACAAUUACCAGAAAACUGUGAUAUCUCAUUCUCCAGCACAGAGUAAGCAUCAGCAAAAGCCUGAGACCAAUUAUUUAGGUGAUGAGAUAUAAUUCAACAAAUCAUUCUUACAAUAAAAUUAACUUAGAUAUGGUAGACGAAGAUCAUCAGUGUUAAUUCUCAAGUUAGAUGGCCCUAUACAUAUUUUAUGCUAGUAGGUUCAACCCUACUAGCAGGAAUACUCAGUACAGCCAACUGUAUGUAUACAAAGACAUGGAGUCGUCAUUAUCAUGAUCAUCCAAAGCUUUGCCCACUAAAAAUAGGGUCAGCUAUGGAGCACAACUUUUGGCCAAAAAGAUUUGAUAGAAGAAUUAAGCAGACCUUUCAGCCAGUUGUCAACUAGACAUACAACCAUCAAGAAAACGGUGUAAAAUUCUUGACCAAAUCAACUUUAGUCCAGAGAAGUUAGCUGGAAAAGUUUGAAGACCUGAACCUGGAAGGCUGGUCAGAAGAAUAUUGUGUAAAUGUUACACAAAAAUGUUUUGUUUUGUCAACAGAGCUAACCAAAGAGCAACCCUUGGAAUAUACGAGCUAGCUCUGGCCUUAAAUAGUUUUUUCAGACCCUGUUUCAGUUCCACUAAGGUUGCUUGUGAACUGUUUUUAUCACUUAUUUCCAUCAUUUCAAGAACUAUUUUAGUUGAAACUUUUAAACUUCCUCAUUAAGGAACAAUUUAGACAAUUUAGAAUUGCCUCAGUUGGCUGAAAAUGAAUCAUACUUAGAUAUAAGGAUUGGCAAAAAUCAAAAUUUUAGAGCUUAUAUAUGUACAGCAGUGGCACGGAAAGACAUGGGGAAGCUUGGAAUAAUAUCAGAUGUAGCCUUAAAUAGGAAUACUUGGCGAAUGCGGAAUUGUGAAGCCAAACCCAAAAAGUUGGAAAAAGGUUUGGUGCUUAACUGCUUAUGGUUAUGUAUAUUACAGCAGUGUAUUGAAACAUUAAUAACUUCUUGCAACUUGCACAAGAGAAAGUUAACUUGAUCACAACGGUGAUAGCACACUUGCAACAUAUGGACUAGCUUUUCCAAAACAGAUUGGACUAACAAAAUCAUCAAUUCCAUACACAGCAUGAAAAAGAGAUGAAACCAUUUAGCAACAAUUAAUUGAUUACUCAUAUGUAAAUUAGUUACACCAUAAGUAAUAAAGUUAUGAUAAGUUGAAAUGACCAAGCUAUGUGACCCUGUAGUUAUGAUCUCAGAAUUGGAGGAUUGGCCACCCACUGUCAUACACAAACAGAACUUUGCAAUCUAAAACAGGAAAAUAAAAAUAGUUUGGUAACAAUAAAAUAUCCUGUCGGAUAAUUAGGAAAGACUCAGCCCUUUCUGAAGAAUCAAGACCAAUGAACACUGUCUGAGCUGAAUGACAGUUGGCAGAUUUCAGAAACUUUCCUGAAAAAAAAAAUAUGCAGAAAAAUGUCCAAAUUUCAACGACCAUGUUAGUUGAUUAAGGUGCUAGCAUGCAUCAUUUUUGACGACUAUCCUAAGAGCCUCUUCUUUUUUGUCACAUUAGGGCCACUAGGUAUAUACCAAAGAUUGAGCAAAUAUUUGGAAUGACAUCACCUAAAGCAGAGCAACAAUAUUAUUAUCUUCUUCUCCUUAUUCCCAGAAAAAUUAAGCUGCCAAAAUUGAGACCACAGUCAUAUUACAUGACUAUGGCUUUAAGAAAUCUAACAAAUAAUGGAUGAAGUAGUGAAUAUUCAACUAACCUUAAUGCACUGGUGUAUACGAAAGCAAUUCCUCCCUACAUUGUUAGCCGGACAGAGAGGAUCAUCGAUAUGAAUUGGAUCAAUGCUGCAAAACUCACAUAACGAAAUGAUUCAGAUAUUAGCAUCCAAUAAAAAUAUAGGAGGUCAUGUUCAAUCCUAUAAGUGAUUCUCAAACCUGAGCCCUCUUUCUCGAUUCAUAUAAACUCCACUUCCUUGAAUUGAAAUACGCAUUUGACGUGGGUCAAAAACAUUCCUAAAGUCAUCAAAACAAAAUAUGAUGUUCAGUGAUACAUUUGACUCUCCGACUAGCCUGAAACCAGCUAAUUGAAUCAUACAUCAAUCUUGCAACACAGUAGAAACUAAGUUGCCUAUCUCUGUAUAUAGCUAAAAAGAAAUUGCAAGCAAUUUUCCCUCACCCAAAGAAGUAGAGAAAAUCCAUCAAAAGGCUACCCAGGUUCUGCAAACAACAAGUGAUUUAAAUCAUACAGCUGAAGUUGAAUAUGAAGAUCAUUAAAUGCGAAGAAUUAAAACCACAGUCAAUCAGGUGCAUAACAUAUACUUAAAUUUGUAGCCAGUGGCAGACAAGCAGGAAAACAGAAACAAACAAGAAAAGUAAACAUGAGUAUUACGUAGCAGUUAAGUUGUUGUCAUCUCAUCUUUGUGCCAUCCAUGGAUACAAAAAUUACAUAUCAUCAGACACCAAAGGUUAGGUUUUUUUUAAAAAAAAGAAUCAAACAACUCAAUAUAACCUAGGAGAAAUCUGCCUUUCUUUGCAAAAACCUUGCCUCUUUACCUUAGAAGCCUUGUCACCAAGGAUCCAGCAACUUUUGUUCUGUCGUUUUGAUAUUCUAACUCAUAGCACAGCAUUUCUUCUACUCAGAACCACCAGCUCACAUAAAAUCAUGUUAUAGAUGCACAUUUUGCACCCCUUGCCACUGGCGAAAGGAGUUGUCUAUGGAUACUCUCUAAAACAUGGAGCGGAUGCAAAAGUGACUUAAUAAUAAUCAGCCUCCCACGAAGAAACAGAAGCUUGGCUUUUUAGUUAGAAAAGCACCUCAUGCCUAUCAUAUCUCAAACAGUCAUGUCCCAAAUACCUCAUCCAAGGCAAAGGCCCAAGUAGAACAUGCAAAAUUUUCUCCAUAGAACUGAAAAACUGCUCCAUGAGAAUGAAUUAUCACAUAGAAAAAGAAACAAGCAGAAGUCCAGUAUUUUAGUGCUUGAGAGCUUCUUAUCAUAUACUUUCCACUGUGUAUAUAUAAAAAAACUUUUCAGAUCUAGCAUGAUGCUAACUACGAUAUACAAAUGGAACUUAUAAAUUACCCAGUUCCAAAGGAAAUCAAUCAUUGGUUCAAUGUUGGAGAUGGACAUGUGGAUAGUAACAUAAAUAAAGUAAUUAUACAGACUGGUGUUUGAUGUCAAACCAUGCUCAGCAAACCAUUGGAAUUACAUGCAUGGACAAUUAGAUAUAUAGAACACCAUCAACAGCGGUGAAUUAUUUCCCUUACUAUUGUAGCUAACAAAAAGGUACGAGCUUUACCUGGUUAAUAGGCCGACCAAUAUGGUAUUCAUGCUGAAGAAAGCGUAUAAUUAGCAACACCUGCACAAAGUCCAUAACAACAUAUUAGGGCAAUUACCACCUUAAUACAAUAUAUAUUGAGUAGUUUUAUGCCUCUUUUCUAAUAAACAGCUAAACUCUGCAUUGCAUUAGCUCCCAAAAAAGAAAAAACAUUUUUGUUUAGAUCAAGGUCCGCCGUACCGGUACCGGUCGGCGUACCGGUGGCGGGCCGGACCGGUACGGUACCGGUCCGGUCCGGUACGUACCGGCCGGUAUCGGUACAGUACCGGCCGGUACCGCGAGCCAAAAACCACAGCGCCUCGCGCUGUGGUUCAUAAAAAAAAAAAAUUCGUACCGGUGCGAACCGGCCGGUUCGCACCGGUAUGAGGCCGGUACCGACCGGUACGGGCUCCGUACCGGCCGGUUCGCACAAGAAAACCGGAGAUACCGGUUUUCUUGUGGUUCCGGUACCGGUCUAGGACCGGACCGGCCCGUACUGGCCGGUACGGGCCGGUACGGCAUUCCAUGGUUUAGAUCAUUGAGGAGUUUAAAGUCUGUUCAGUUGCAUGAAAAUCCAUGGAAAAGGAAAUGCGAGGCUUUUCCACAGGAUUUUUUUUUCUGAGUUCUGGCGAUAAACUUUCCAAACUUAUCAUUUUUUCCAGUUGAAACAAACAAAAAGAAAACAAGAAUCUCCUAGAAAAAUAAGUUUUCCAAGCACUUUUCCUUGCAACCAAACAAAUCUUAAACAAAAAAUUAAGGAUAAAAAUUGAUUAUUGUCCAGUCCAAGACUUACACUACCUCAGGAAUUCAUGAACCAUGAUUUAUGUUAUGGUGAUGUCACAAAGCAAAAUUAGGUUCCCAUAACAACAAACUGUUCAUGUGUCCAGAAAGAGCUAAAAAUAUUUCAAAAUAAUUACAAAGAUAUAAAAUGUUCGAAGAGUUAAUAGGAACAUUUUAAAAUGUAGAAUAUUACCAUCAGUAACAAGACUUUUAUUCAAAUAAAGGACAGCAUAGAGGCUUCACAGGCAUUAUUUUUUAGAUCACAUGCUCUGAAUCUUUUUUAGCGAUGUUACUCUUAAUGCUUGCCAUUCAACUAAUGUGGUUAGAUCUCUUUAUGCUAAACUAUUGAUGCAGUGACGCAGUCAGAUACAAAGAGAGAUAAAAAGGGGCUUGGAGCAGACCUAUUUUGGGUCCUAAACAAGGUCAAAUAUCCAGAAAAUAAUUCUGCAGAUCUUUGAAAAAAGAAUAGCAUGUAAAAUAUGGCAACCUGAUAUAUUUUGUAGUUUUAUAUUUGACAGAGCACUUGACUAUGAUUAUGCGAGGUUUGAUGGACCACAUCCUCAUAUCUUUAUCUAGCCUUCAAGAGACCUGAUUAAAUAUCAUAAAUCCUCAUUGCUCUCUCAUCCAUCUAGAAUACAUUAUUGUGUUUCUUUCAUCAAUUCCUUAGCACAGAGGCAUAACAAAUUGAUUGUUCUGAUCUUAAGUUUUCCUUCCUAGGCUACUAGUAAGACUCUAAACAGUGUUACUACCAGUAACUUCUAACUGAACGGAAAAUUAUUGAUAGAUUUUGUGGAGUCCAAUUUUCCUACUCCACUUCCAGUCAUGACACACUCUUUAUUCUUAUGAUUUCCAACUUUCAUCUACUACUCAAGGUCAGACUAAGGCCAUUAAGUAUACUACUGAUCAAAGACCAACAGAGGUGGACAACUCCAGUCUUCAGCCUUUAGCUACCCAUUCGAGUCAGAGGUCCAAGCAAUGACAAUUCAUCAGUUUGGUAAGCAAGCAAGCAUGUAAAUAGUAUCUUAUUUCAAAUUGUGCCCUCCAAGCAACAACUCUCCACAUAAGAUUCCUUUAUAGUAAGCAGAGGUUAGAGUGUUUUUUUUGGGUAUAUGCAGUUAAGCAUUCCCUUUAUGGAACCAUUGACAGGCUCAGAAACCAGAAUUGGUGACCGAGGCAAAGACAUAUGGUGUGAGUGAUAUGUAAAUGAAAAAUGAAGUGAUACAAGCUAAGAGGACUAGGGCUUUUUUUUCUUUUUUUUGGGUUGGGUGGGAGGCUUGACCUUUCUGCUAAGUCAAAAAGAUAACUGAUUCUCCACUUAAGAACAAUAAUAUCAGAAAAUAUAAAAAAUAUUCAAGGAAAACUAACAGCACAAAAUUAUUGCAGUCCAAUUGAACUUUUUUCAUGUUCAUUGGGAAAUUAUUUUUUUUAAUAGAAUGGCAAAGAAAAUGCAGCAUAACUUACCAAACAGUAAGAACUCAAAGCACCCGAAUAAGACUGGUCCAAACUACGAUCUGACAAAAACUUCUUCAGUAUCAAAGCAAGGGGUCCAGCAGCAGGAAACUGCUGAGUGAGCUCUCUAACCUGCAAAUUAAAAUUAAUAUUGAAUUUAUGCUAGACAUAAUAAUCAUUGUUAUGCCAUUACAAACUUUAAUGGUCAUCCUUCACACUUCAUUUGUCUGAAGGGUCAUAUCUAUACAUGGCAUGACCAGGUACAGAUUGACUCCAGUUGCUUCAGGUUCUCUAAGUGCUUUAAAGCUCAUGGCAUUACUAGGUCCCAAUUGAGUCCCCUGUUUGGGUCAAAUGUCAAAUUGUCAAAUAACAAAAUAGAUCAACAAGCUAUUGCACCACACUGGAAUCAAUGCCUUAUUGACGAAGGCUUGGGAGUACACCAUAACCAACAUAUUCAAAACUCCAUCAAACAACAUAAAUAUUGUUAUUAUGUAUACAACAUUAUCUCUGUCUCAAGCUGUCCACAGUCAUCAUCAACCCUGCCCCUCCAACCACACCACUCAGCCUUCCCCUCCCCUCUCUUUCUCCAAAUGAGCAAGAAAAUGAUCCCAUAGAUACCCAACAACCACCUGGUUUCUGACCAGACACCUGAUUUAUCAUAAGUCCCUCGUUACAGACGUGUAGUCCACUAUCAAAUACGUCUCUCUCUCUCUUUCUCUUUAAAUGAGACCGAAACAACCCAACUGAAUUCAAUAGCUAUCCAGUAGCCAAAUCAAAUCCACUAUCAAAUGUGAUGUAGGAUUGUAAUUUAGGUUUGAGUUUGGGUUCCCAAUUGAAUUCAAUAGCUAUCCAGUACCCAAAUCAAAUCCACUAUCAAAUAUAAUGUAGGAUUGUAAUUUAGGUUAGAGUUUGGGUUCAAUUAUGGUUAGAGAUGGAACAGGCCCUAAGCUGGCCUCUGCCCACCCCUAGAUAUGGUAAUGGUGCCUAAGAGUGACUGACACUCAAGCUUAGGCUCCAUAAUCUUUAAUAUUCAUUAAGUUCAAACAAAUUGAGCAUGCAUUGUCACCCACUUAACCUAUAGAGAUAUGGGUUCAGUAAUAUAACAAUCUCUUCCUCCAUAUAAUUUAAUAAAUAAAUAUUCAUAAAAAAUCCAAUCACAAAACAAUUAAAAGUCCAUAAGUUGGUAAUGAAGCAAAAAUUGGAUUUAUUACAUCAAAAUAGUUUUUUCAUUACUUAAAAAGUAUAUGCCAACUGAGAAAAUCAACUUGCCUAGAUCAAGUCCAACAUUUUAGUUUGUACCAUAAAUUCUCGACUUCCACUAAAAAACAAAGAAAACUUAUCCAGAAAAUAAAAGAAAAACACUAAAAGUUCACCUCAAGCCAAUUUGUCAGGCCAUCUAAAGUGUAGCUCACCACAUAUAGUCACAAAUAUGUUCCAAAAACACAGACAAAACUAUAGUAUGACAAAUAGCAUUCCCUUAAUUGCAUACUCAAAAAGCGUAAGACCUCACAUCUAAAAGAAGGAAGAAAAUCCAACAUAAAAAAAGGAAACGAACUUAUCUGCAAUCAACAAAUUAAAAAAUGUUGAAAAGCUAUGGAUUACCAGUUCAGAAGUUUCAAGUCCUGUGUGUGAUGGUGACUUGAAGCUGAUAUCAAGACGAAUUGAUUUCUCAUCAACAGCAACAUCCUUUUUCAUUUUUGAACACAUUGGCCAAGAGGUAUUUGCUGAACUAGACAGAUCUGGACAAGGGAUGCUUUGCUUUCCAGGCAUCUUGGUUGAAUGUGCUUCUGGUGUCUCCACAAUGGAAGAAUUGUCAUUUGAAAGACUAAUGUCAUGAGGAACAUCUGCCACAAGCAUGAUGACAGGUAUCUGGACACCACAAAUUUUGAUAAAGUACAUAAGUUGACAGUGAGAUGAGAGAGUCCAAGUGUCAAGAAAAGAAAGAAUUGGAAUUAUUUUAAGAAAAAACAUGAGAAAGAACGAGGCAUAACUGCAGUGUUUUCUAUUGUUUUUAGGGAGUCAUUUCUAACCCACUCUUGGUUUGCAAGGUACCUAGCUGCAUGCUGGAACAAAACCAGAAGAGUAAGCAGUACGUGAGAAAAGCCACAGAACAGAUUCUAAUGAGAAGCAUUACUUCAAGGAAGCAACAAACAGAAUCUCAAAAUUCUAUUCACUUCAGCAACAUAGUCAAUGGCUAUAUCUCAAAAUUUUCAACUAAGCUACACCUAGGGAAAGACACAGGUGUCCUGACAAUUGUUAUCCAUAAUCUAUCAUUUCUCAAAAAUGUAGUAUCAUGGUUCUAUGGAAAUUAAACUCUCUUCUGUGAGUCCCAGUAAAUGACAAUAUGCAAUGGAAAACUGUGGCCGUAGAGCAUGAAGAGAACAAAUGAUUUUCUGUUAGCGGUUUCCAACAAUCCAAAAUUCUAACCAAAUGUACUAAAUCUUCAAAAUAUAAAAGGUCAGCUGACAUUCUUUAUCGAUUAUCUAUGAAUACUUGUAUCUAUGGAAAAAGUUGAACCUUGAUUUAUAAUUGAGGCAGAAAAUAUAUGAAAAUUCAAAGAAGCAACAAAUGUUCCAAUGAAAAAACAUCUGGAUAUUGAUAAAUUGAGGGGAAAAUAGUACCUCUCAGAAGAGAUUUUUUUUUUUUGGGUACAAACUUCUCAGAAGAGAUCAAACAGAUGAAUUUUGAACAGCUUUAUUCAUCCAGAAAGACCAAAUAAUACAAUGUCAUUGGCCAGUAUAUCCUUAAGAAUAUUUAGCAUAAAGUAAACCAUUAAGGAAAAAUGCAAAGGCUUAGGUCUGCAAGUAAAAAACCUAAAAACUGAAGAAAUGGAUUGAAUUGGACAGAAAUCAACCGUUAUGAAAACUUUCGAUGAAGAACAAUCUUUUUUUUUCAUACACAAGAAAAAUCUAUUUCCGUAUGCCUCUUUGAAUUAAAGCAAAAUAGUAUGCACAAAAUGGGCAUUAAAAAGGCCAUGAUGUAGGAUUUACGAGGUAUAACCACAAAAUCAGGAUCACAAAAGGAUAGUCUUAAUUCCUGGUUUGAUGUGCCUUCAGGUUUCAUGUUAGAGGAAUGGUUAUGAUAAGUAGAUAAUUAUCAACUAGAACGACCACAGAUAUAAACAAUGACACAUAUGCAACAUAACUUGUCUGCACAGAAGCAAAUCAAGCAAGAUACCUGAAGGCAUGUUUCCUUGAUACCAUUGCGACCUUCCAAAAUUCCAGCUUCUGUGAUGGGUUCCUGACAAACAACUGCACUUGUUAAAUUUGAAGUUUCAACAGAAUCAACUGUACACAACAAUGAUGAGGAUUUUUCUUCAACUUAUGGUAUGUUUCUCACCAAAUUCCGUACUGGAGGGAGAGAAACCACGAGGUCCACAUCACUAGUUGGAAGAGCUAAACCAGUUGCAUUGGAACCAAAUAUAUUUGUCCGAGAGCGAGGCCAGAUUACCUGAAGAGAUCGUGUGACCCUCUUGACAGCCCAGUUAGUGUAGGGCUUCCUGAUCAGAUUCUCAGCAGCAACCUUCGAUUUACCAUUAAUGAUGAACCAGCAAUUACCUUGGAGUCAAGAUGAUAAAUACAAACAAAAAAAAAUUAAAAAUGAUAAUGCAUAGAGGAGUUAAAAUCUUGGUAGGCCUAUGAAGCUUAUUUGUGCUAAGGAUGUCUUUAUAUUUUACUAUUCAUGAACUAAUUGUAUAUGUAAGGUUCACUGUUCAACACACAUGCAUCUUGAGUAACGAUAUUAAAUGCCUACGCAAGAGCAACAGUACACAGUAGUGUGAUGUCCAAAGUGGGUAAGGCAAAAUUUAGAAUUUUUGAUAAAUAAAAUUUACAAAAAUUUGUCAAAACUGCCAUACCUGCUUGCAGAAAAGAUCAAUAUCCUCGUGAAGAAGAUUGUGCAUCAGAGACACAGAUGUCUUAUUAGAUGGACAAUUCAAUAAAUCAGGAGGUUGCAAUGGUAAGGCAACAUCUGGCUGCAACAUCAAAUUUUCAAUAAAAGAUCAUAACAUAAACAAACAAGAUAUGUGAGGAAAACUAUGAUGAUAUAGCCCAUACAUGUUCCUGAUCACGAGCUAGCUGGGAAAUUGUAAUAAGGUGAUCUUGCAACAAAGACCCGUGAAUAGAUUGCACCAUUGAAGAGGUAGCCAGCCCUUUGUUUCGCCAUGAAGGCCAAACAACUUCAGCACCAUCCCAACAAAAUCGAGUUUCCUCAGAAUUACUUUCAUCAGAAUACCAACUUCUCAUACCCCAAUGGCUAGGACUUGAGCUACCAGAUCUUACAACUGGAAAGCCCCUCUUUCUAGAUUCUCCAACUAGAGAAGGUGGAGGAGGUCGAGGUAGUCGAGGAACACAAAGUACCACUGGUGAUGGAGGCCGCUUGAUGCGAUGGGUCUCCCUCUUAGUAGUAGGUAUACAUGGGCUUUUAUGAUCAUGACCAACCUUAAAUUCAGAUCUCGAACCCCUCCUUGAUAUACUUGGAACAAUGAUCGGCCGCAGCAUUGAAUAUGGAAGUGUGUCCCCUUUCACUCCCUCAAAACCAUUAGGUGGAUUAUUCACAGAUAUUGAGGCUUUCUCUUCAGGACCAUCGGAUACUGAAGAUGAGGAGUUCAGUACCUUUCCAGUACUGUCAUUUCCUGGCAUAGCAUAACCAACAGACUGGUGUCCCGGUCCCAAUGGAUCAAAUGGUGAACAAAAUGGGGCAGCAGGUGGUGAGGGCAGACCAUUCGAAUUGUAGGAAGCAGAUAAUCCAGGCGUGCCAACCAUAUCAUCAACAGCUCUAUUCAUAUCUGCUUCAUGCCAAGCCCAAGCACUCUCUUCAGAACUGUGAGAAGGUGGGCGAGAGAAACCCGUUCCAACAUGUUCAGCAGGAUUCCAGUACAUUAUUCCACCACCAAAAAAUUGAUUAUAAUCCUUUCCAGAAAAUGCAUGAGUUUCAUAUUCUUCUACAGAAAACCAGCAGCUUUCAGUAUCAUCCACCAAAUCAGAAGUGUUUUUCAAAUCAUACAUAUCUAAAAUAUCCCCAGGAUGCUUUCUCUCAUUCUCACCGGAAGUCCCAUUAAUUUGCAGUCCAUAAGUAGCAAAUCCUGGGCAGAGUGAAGACUGCAUCCUUGGAUCAUAUCCAGAAUCAUAGCUUACAGUCACAGUCUGACUCAAUCUACUACAAGUUUUGACCAUAGGAGGCCAGUCAAAACUCAUGGGCAAAGUUAGAGAAGGUAAAAUUCGACUGCGCCCACCUUCACUUGAUGGCUUUCUUCCCUGAUGCCUGGAAGGCAGAAAGGACUGAUGAAAGUGACUGGGCCAUUUAUGACCAACAUCCUGAUGUAAUCUGUCUGUGGCAGCUGGGAGAUGCUGUGAAUGAACAGAUGUAAAAUCAGGAGGCGAUAUGGUAGGCCACUCAUAUGAAGUGCCUCCCAUGGAACUUGUGUGGUUUCGUACAUAAGAUUCACUACCAUUAUUCUCGAUUAUGGAACUAUUCUCAUCCAUAAUACCUUGAACCAAGUUUGGAGGAGCAACAUACUGUGAAUGGGUGUUAUUUAUAUCCUGGGUACUAUCAUGCUCAUGUUCCUUAAGCUCGAGUGUAGACACAGCAGGGCUCAUAACUUCACAUGCAGUAUUGCUACUGGAACAACUUAUGGAAGAAUUAAUACAAUUUACAAGUUUGUCACAACAAACAUUAAUGUUUCUCACAGAAGAUCCUGAAGAUAUCUGGGAGAUGCCUUCAGCCAUUUUAAUAGAAUUAUAGUCUUCUGAAUUGUUUGAACUCAUAUUACAUUCCACACCAGUAAAACAGAAAUCUGCAAUAGAAUGAGGGUCAGGAUCUAGCUGGAUGCUCAUCAUUUCAUUGUGAUUGAUGAAAUCAGGCUUAACAGAAGCAUCACAUAAAUUAGAAACAGGAGACAGACUAUGCCUGGCAGCAGAAUCAUUGGGGUCAGGUAAAGAUUCUGUCAGUUCACUUUCUGGAGCAACAGAUGUUACAGCAGUUUUCUUGUUAUCAAAUUCAGAAAAUCCAACUUUCACUAAGCCAGAAUUUUUUACUUUUAGCUCCUUUUCUUCCACCUUUUUUCUUACGUCUAUGGCCCUUGCUGUCAGCUAAACCUGCAGCAUGCUCCUUUUCUUCCACCAUUUUUUCUUACUUCUAUUCCUUUUUUGUUAACGGAGUUUCCCUCCCAGGAUCUUUCUUUGGAACACAAGGACUAGUUGUCCUUGCCUUCUGAUUAUCCACUACUGAAAGAGUGCUUUCUGGGGGGCAAAGCCCCGAGCUGCUAUCAUCUGCACAGUCUUCUCCACAUCCUUGAUCCUGAAAAUGACGUCAGUAAAUUAAUUAUCACUAAGUUGUGUCAGAAAGGGCAAAAAAAAAAGAAAAAAGAAAAAGGAAAAAGUUGCUGAAAGUAUGUGGAUACCAUAGAAGUUUUGUGUAAUGUUGAAUCAACCUUGGAUGGCUUAGAAGUAGAACUUAGCUUUCUUGAACUGCGACAUUUGUUCUUCCCUCUCCGACAACCAACAUUGCACUUCUCUUCACUUUUGUGUGGGAGGGCCUUUAACUUUACACCUCCCAUAAGUUCAAGUUUUAUAUAACUAAUGGAAACAACCAUGAGGAGUCUUCGCAGGUUUCUUAUUAUACAAUCAGAAAUGGUGUCAAGAGAUUCUAAUGUGCUGAAAAAUAAUGCCUUGUCUUCAGAUUCACUAAGCCAACAUGUUAAAAAAGUAGAUAUCUCCUGAACCACUAGCAAUCUGUUCAAAUAAUUGGUCAGGAUUCGUGGUCUUCUAUGAGAUGGCACAGUGAUGAUAUCCAAGGACAAAUCUAGAUUCCUUCUGAACAAUGACUUCUUCACCCUUUGCCAAGAUGCCAUAGGACCAUAUCUUAGUUUCAGUUCAUCUUCAAGUUUACAGAAACAAAAUUCAUUCCUCAAAGCAUUGUUUGACCCUUUAACAAUCUCAUUUGCCUGAAGAGUUACAAUGUUCAAAUAUUAGCAAUUAUUGAUGCAUAAAAAGAAAGAUGUUUACCAGCAAAGCGCCAACGAUAAUAAGCUGAAAUUCAUCUCAUUGAUAAAAUACGAGAAAUCAAGAUAAUCUCUGUAGUUCCACAUAAAAAUUGGCACUUUUCUUCGUUGUGUCGAUCAAGAGUUGAAGAACCAAUGCCGAUACCUUACAGGUAGGGUAUAGAUCAGUAUAAUUGGUUAUUGUGUCAACAGAUAGUAUGCCUCUUGCUGCCAGCACAAGAAAAAUAAGAUUAUGUAACAUGUAUUGGUACAGUAUCAAGAGGCAUAUUGAUACCAGUACAGUGAGGUAUGGUUAGUACCACCAAUACUUAAAUCCUUGGCCGGUCAUUGACAUGAGGCAAAAGAGUGGAUUUAGGCACAAAACAAGGAGAAAAUGCUUCUCUCCGCUUAUUCUUUAUCAAAUUAAUAAUAAGCAUCAUGAUUUUCACUUCUUUUUUUCGGACAACAAUUUGAAUCUUAAUCUGAUUUCUUUGGAAAAAGUAUAAUAAGUCUCUUCAGAGUUAACUUUGAAUGAUAGAUAAUUGCAAGCUGACAACUUUUUACAUGAUAGAUUUCUUCACUCAUAGACUAAUCCUGUGACUUCAUGUCUUACUUUAUCAAUAAAUUUAUAUAUGGGUAAAGAGGAAGCUUUAAACCAAGUAUAAGGUAAGUCUGCUAUAUCAGAGAAAGGCUCUCAGAUCUCAUCCACAGAAGUUUAAAGAAGCAUCAACAUCCAAUAUAUUUACCACUCAUAUUUCAUGAUAGAUUGCCAGUUUACAAAAGAAUGAAACCUAUGAUCCAACACCAGAAGAUCCUUUUCUCGGCAAGAAAUUCCCAAAAAUGCAUGCAGCUAACCAAAGAAGAGUGCUAUAAUAUCAUGGUGUUCUAUUUUAGGCCCAUGAAUCCCAACUUUGCCAAUUGGAUCAGGUAAUGAGUAAUAACGAAUUAUGCUUUGGAAACAAAGACCCUUGUAUAUACAAGAUAUCAGAUCUCAAUUUACCCAUGUGAAAUAAAAAAGAAUAAUACCGCUUCUUAUAAUAAACUCAUUAGUGCUAAAUAAGUCCCCAGUUAUUAGUCAAAGGACUCAACCAAAUUCCCAUUUCUCUCCAGAAGUGUCUUCAGUAUGCUAAGCCAUUUGCUCUCUCUCUCUCUCUCUCUCUGGGGGUGCAGGAGGGGUGAAGGGAAGGGCUCAUGCCCAAUGAUUAUUCCAUAUACCAUGAAAUAUAACAAACUCAUUUAGUGGAUUAGUACAGUGUGCAUGCAGUUCAUACAUAAUGCAGACACACAUGGACUAUAACAAGUUGGCCAUAUGCUGUAGAUGUAAGCUAGUUCUUAUUUUGUAUUCCAUAUAUAUCAGUGGAAUUAAUCAUUCUCUCACCUUUUAGUUAGCAUGCUUUAACUUGGUGGUCCAUGAAGAUUUCUCAAGAAUGUGGGAACUUUCAGGGUAAACAUUUUUUAAAUAGAGUUGGGAGGGGGAGAAUGGGAUCUAAACUAAAUAUCAAAACAGGAAAUCUAGACAAACCAAAAGAAUGUUUUCCAAAAAAUGAAUUAUAUUAGUUCCUAGUAAAGGCAUAGCCUACAACUUCAUCACCACCCAUUUCAUGUUCUUAAGCCAUUUCUAUAAAAAAUAUCUGAUCUUUCUCUUCACAAAAGUAAAUCAUGAGUGAAUCCUUAAUUUCUAUGGCAUGACAUCAAAGUUGGACCCUCAACAGAUUCUGUACCAUGCUACUUCAAAAGGUCAUUUUCCUUAGCAAGAGGCCACCUGAGUAACUAGUUGGUAGGAUUAGCAGUAAGUGCACAAAAUGGUGCAAUGAAAUGAGCAAGCUUGCAAUGCAACACAAGCCACUGUCUAAACCAGCACCAAGGAAGACCACGUUGGAUAUCCAAUUAUUGAUAAAACAUACAUCCAAUAGUUGUGUCAACCAAACAGCAGGAAGACCUUCACGAGUUCAGCUCAACAAGUAAUUCCCAAGUAAAACCUGGUUCCAGGUUCCUGCAACCAUUCUGACUCUCUCUCACUGAGAAUUGACAAGUAACAAAAUCAUACGGCAAGACUUUGAGGACAAAGGUGCUUUUGGUAUUCAGGAUAAGAUUGUAGCACCCCUUCACAUCCUCUGAUAUGCUUUAAGAUGCAAGCGCUGUCAAUUGACAUGAAGAACCACUUUCAUACACUGAAUCUGAAUCAAAAGUUAGCUAAACUAAACCUUCCCUUUCACGAAAAAUAAAAGAUCUCAAUUCUCACAUGGUUCAGAUUUUAUCAUUAGUUAUUCAAAUAUUAAAGUUCUCUCUUUUCUUUUUCGUAACAAAAGUUUUCCAUUAAUGAUCUUAAAACUCUUACGGUAAAAACAGAAACUUUGUAGGAUGAAUUGGGGAGUAAAAACCAAAGCUACAUUGGAAAUCCAAGAUGGUAAAACAAUUACCAGAAAUUUCGCUGCUUUCCAUAAAAAAGCCUGAAAAAUCUUCUCUCUGUCCGGGAUCCAACCCCAUCCACCAGUCCAGGCACCCCUUCUUCCUCCAAAAGGCAUUGGCAGCUAGACCAGCGACCGCAGCCCUCUCCUUCGCUGCCUUCCUCCCCUUCGGAUUCUUCCCUCCAUGGGAGCUAAGCCACGCCAGCCUCAACGCCACCUCCAGCCGAUUCGCCACGAAUGCCUCCAAGCUGUAGUACCCCUUAUCCUUCAACCACGGCAGCUCCGCCCAGGGCGCCCCCAACCCACUCUCCUCUUCUCUCAGGAACCUCCCACCGGAGAUCCCAUCCAUGACCUCCACGAACCGGUCCGCGUCGACGACCAAGUCCUCGGAGACCGUGAGGAAAUCCAGGGGGACAGUCGGCGGUCUGCUCGCCCUCCCGGGACCCGAAGAGGCGGAGGGAGCGAGCGAGGUCAAGCUCGGCGGUGGAGGAGGCGGCGGCGCGGGCGAGGAGGCCGUGGUAGCGGCGGAAGCAGAGGGAGGGGAGGGAGGGGGAGGAAGAGGCGGGAAGGUCAGGGAGGAGGAAGAAGAAGCCGUGGCCGUGACGGCGGAGGCGGGAGAGCAUCUGGAGGAGGAUGCGGACGAAGUCGGGGUCGAUGACGGUAAGGGCGGACUGGCGGUGAGAAGCGGAGAGGGAGGAGAACCACCUGAGGACGGCGGCGCGAGGCUUGGGGUUCGGGUUUGGUUUUGAGGAGUGGUAGAGGGCGAUAUGGGCAGUGAGGGAAUCGAAGAGCUGGUGGGCAUCCAUGGCGGGCGGCGGAGUCGGUCGGAAAGUGUUUGUUUGUGUGUCCGAGAGACGCAAAUGGAGGUUGGUGGAACCUUGGGAGGCGGGGUAAGAGUGGGACACCUGGCACAUUAGUUUGUGUUAUGGAACCAGUUCCAACCUUCGUUUGCACCUCAACAUCUUUUUUUUUUAACAUAAUAGAAUAGAUAAUUAAAAUAAAAUAAAUAUAAUUAUUUAAUUAUUUUUCAAAAUACUUUUUAAUAUUAAUAUUAUGAUAUAUUAUUAAUAUACAAAAUUUCGAUAGCAUAUGCAAAAUUAUCAUUAUAAUAAGAUAAUAUAUUAUCAUAAAAUAAUAAGAUCAUAAUCCAAUUUGUAUAUAAAUAAGAAAUAAAAAAGUAUUGUAUGUCUAGAAUAUAUAAAUAAAAUAUAGUAGAAUUAUUAAUAGUUAUGCUUUUAUUUUUAAAUAAAAAUAUGAUCACAAAAAUACAAUAAAUUUUAAUUAAAUAUUAAUGCAACAUAAUAUAGGUACAAAUUUAAAAUAUUUUUAUUAAUAUCAACAUAUAUUAGCAAGUAUGGUUACUAAUAAUAUCAUUAACUUUUAUAUUAAUUUCAUGAUGCUUUAUUUAAUAUAAUUUAAUAAGUUAAUAAGUUUCUUAUUAAUCUAUUCAUAAGCUUUUUAUUUAAUAUGGUAUUAAAUAAUUUUUUUAUUAAUAAUGUUAUUAAGAUAGAUACCGAGAGCUUUGCUGAAAUAAAGCCUUCAUUUUAAUAUGUGUGUGUGUACACAUACACACAUAAAUAUAUAUAUUAAAUAUAUUAGAUGACCCCUAACAUUUGGUAUCAUAACUAUUUUGCUUCCAACCUAUAAAAUAAUUGCCGCUAAAUAUAUAUUUUCACUGGAUAGAUAUAGAUACGUUAAUAUUAAUUAAAUAUUAAAUUUUUAUCCAUAUGUAUUUUAACCCGUUACAAAUACAAAUUUAUAUUUUUUUAUCUUCUUCCUCUCUACACUAAAAUCCUCUAGCCUACGUUAUGGCCCACAAAAACUCUUGCCACGUUUUUGAAAAGUUAUCCAUAAGCCUCAACAUUACAUACAUUAUGCUUUCAUAUCUCAUUGUUGAUUGGACAUAAGAUCGGCAAAUGAAAACUUUAUUUAUUUAGUUAAGUCUUAAUAGUAGAGUUCCUUUCUUUAUUAUAAUAGAGAUUGAUAUCAGCUAUUACUUCACAUUAAUAAGUAUCCCAAUUUACAGAACAUGUAUAUUUAACGGCUGAACACGCAUCAGCAUUACCAAGCCGUGCCCGUCUCACAAACAGAACAGAGAUCAUUCAGGAGAAAAACAAACUAUAGAGUAAGCAAUUAAUAAAUAAACGUACAGAUGGUUUAAAGACAUCGUCUUCUGUGGAUCCAAUCAAGAUGAUGAGAAUGAGGAUUUAAUGGUGACUUCGCCAGUUGAAGGGUCAAAAAAUGCCUCAAUCUCAGCAAAGCACUCAACGGCAUCGACUGCCACAGGCUUGCUCAAAAGCUUCACUCCUUGUUUCCAAUAUCUGCUAUCUGAAAUCAACAGUCCCACAAGAAUGAAAAUAUAAAUAAAAGAAAGGCGAUACGGCUUGGAAUAUCUUGGAUUUUACACAAGUUGUUUCUUCAUUAAAAGUUUUAAGGACAAUGAAGUAUUGCAUCAGGAAUACUGGAAUGGAACAAGUGAUUCAUAAUGAUGCAAACCUGGCCCAGUUGUCAAAACAAUGGAAUUUUUUUCAUCCAUCACCCAAUCAAUCCAAAGUGCAAAACCAUGGCAUAAUCCUGGCUCCGAAAACUCAAUCUACAUAAAGAAUGAAGAGGUUGGAAUACUAUUGCUGAAGAAGUAGAAAACAACAUGAUCAGAAUGCCCUUUAGUAAAGUACAUGGAGAGUUGGCUAAAAGCGUAUCCUUUGGAACGAAAGUUCCUGGUAUCAUGCCAUUGUUCAUUUUAUGUAAUUUUUCUUCAUUGUUUAACCAGUUGACUUCAUUUUUUUCAAUUUUUUUGCCAUUUUGUAUCUUGCACAUGUGUGAGCCACACCUCUCCAGUUUUCAUUACCUCAGUACCCUAUUCUUCUUUUCAAUUGUUUUCAUCAAUUUGAAAUUUUAACCUAAUCCUCAGCAGCAUCAGGAUCUUAAUUUCCAAGACCUGUCAGUAACUUCAAGGCCAGGACAAUUAACCACCUCUCAUAUUUCAUUGUUAUCAUAUCUUUGUUCUGCACCCAUCAGACCUCCUUUAUUAGUCCAUACAAAUGUAGGUUUCCUGUUCUACAAUAAGCCUUUUCUUUUGAAAUUUGUAGAUUAUAUUAUAUUGUAUGUGAGUGGCUUUUUGUAGGCUUUGAUAAAAAUAGCUUUUCUAUUAUCUUUGGUUGUUGGGAAGUAAGAAACUUUUUUGUUAUUUGGAAAGACAUAACUAAGUUGCCACUUUCUGCUUAUGGGUUGAGUAGCUUGUUGAUAUCAAAUUUGAUGAGUGCAAACAAUGUGAGAAGCAUGCAUGGAAGCAAUGGAAUUGAAAGAUCUGAAAAGAUGCGACCGGUGAAAAUUAUGGCUUUAUUUGGGAAGGUACAUAGUCCAAUCUUGGCUAAUUGAAAACAUCAAUAAUGAAGAUCAAAUUUAAGCUAUAACUGUCUGAGAAUCGAAAGGAAAUCCUCGGGAUCAAUGAUAUAGGUGGCACAAGCUGUCUGAUAUAUGCCAUAAUUAAAUGGAUUGCAGGCCAAAAUUUGUAAAGGCCUGUCACAACAUUUGGGAGAAAGACUGCUUCUACCUGUUUCAUUAUCAGAAGAUCACCUCGAAUCAAGUACUGGACUAGAUAUUAGUUGCACCCACCAACUCAAAGCGUGUAGACUCUUUUAUUAAUUAUAACUCUGAAUACAGGAGUUGACAAAGAAGUUUGCCAAAGAUUUACUCAGAAUUUAAUGAGAAAUCCUCACCAUUUUCAUGUAUAAAAGUAAAAUUUCAUAUGAUGAAUGUAAAUCUGAAAAAUGGGCAAAUGAAUAUUUUAGCCAGUUGAGGACAAUUGGAUAGCAUGCAAUAUAAAAUAAAAAUGGCCAACAAAAACAUGCAUUGAAGAUCAAGUAUAUAGCAUCUAUUCAGGAAAAUGCACAUAAGGGCUACACAAAGAAGCCACUGAACAAAAAAUACCUUUGUUUUUCCAAAACAUGCAUGAAUUGGCUCUGAGAAAUUAAACUCCAUGAUUGAAAUUGCCUCACUAAGUUUCUGUUGGAUAUUAAGUGAACAAUCACAUCAGUUUACAAGAAUAAAACCAAUCAUUUAUAUAAGUCAAACUUAUCUUCUACAAUUUGAUAUACUUACCUUAACCUCACCACAUUGCCAUAUAUAAUAAGGCAGACAAGGACCUUCCUGCAUUGGUGGUAAGUCGCCACAGGCCCCUAAAGUCUCGUUCACAACUGAAUGGUCAAAGCCUUCAACAUCUUGGAGGCAGCACUGACUUCUCCACAAGUUCUGCAUAAGAAAAUAAAUUUUCUAACACUACAACAACGAGAAAAGAAAUCACCGGCUUCAAGCAAUCAAUUUAUAGAAUAGAAAAAAAAGGAGGUACAAAUAGAAAAGAAACUCACCGGAAGUGACAUGGCACAAACCUUCAAGGUUCCUUUACAAGGCAUGAUAAAUACAUCCUCAGCUAGAAUCGAGUCAAGCAGAGUCCUCUCCUUCCUUCAAUCAAUUUAAAAUGAACCAGAAUGCUUAGGACUAUGAUAUAAUGUCAUACAUAAGAUAAUAGAUACAGAAAUCAAAAGGUAGCCCGCCUUCUAUUGUUGGCUUUAUCGUGCAAAAAGGUAUAAUCCCUUGAAUACUGUGACAGACUCUCAUUGCGUUAAGGUUUACAUGAGCAAUUCUACUCUUUUCUAUGUCAAGUCCUCACAGGCACAAUACAAAACACCUGUUUAGCUGAAGGGACAGGUUUCGACCUUAUUGGCAUCAUCUAUUUGCUAGUGUUGCACCAUUAUUAUAGCAUAUUGAUCGACUGUGUUGUCAAGAUUGACAGAGUCAUAAAUCAUAGAGGAAGCUAGAUCAGACUGGGAAUGUAUCAAAUUGCAGAUGGUAAAAUAUUCCUUUUCCAGUUUCUUCAAAAAUUUAAAAAUAUAAAAGAAAUGUGACCGGGAAAAAAAUGAGUCAAACACAAAG
RNAcentral lists this long non-coding RNA (53712 nucleotides) under Phoenix dactylifera (date palm). RNAcentral describes it as "long non-coding RNA (PDAC_LNC002572)". Lineage: Eukaryota; Viridiplantae; Streptophyta; Magnoliopsida; Arecales; Arecaceae. The record is from RNAcentral.